UUCAUUUUUUUUUUUUUUAAUUCACAUUCAUACUUCUAUGCAUAUUAAUCUAUAUAUGUAUAUAUAUAUAUAGAAUCUUAUUUCAUAAAAUCUUAUCUAAUAAGAUUUUCUCUCUCUCCAAUAAAAUUUAAUAAUUAAAUAUUCAUUCUUAUCCAACUAAAUCAAUCUAGUGAAAAUCUUAUCUCAUAAGUGAAUAUUUAAUUAUUCUCUAAUCCAAUUAGAGAUAAAUAUUAAUCUCUCCAAUAUUUAAUUAGAUCUUUCUAAUUUUGAUCUUAUCCAAUAAGAUUACUUACUAAUAUCUAAAUCUCAUUUAAAUAUCUUUUAUGAUUAAAUAUUAUCCACUAAUCUAAUUAGAGAUAAAUUUAAAUCUUGCGCAUAAUUCUCAAACUGAUUCUGAUAUCCUAAUCUAAUUAGGACUAUCAGUUAUAACCGAAUUGAAUAAUUAAAUCUAAUUUAAUUAAACAGCUUCUUUUUAUUUUCAUCGCUUACAAUAAACUCUUUAGUGAACGACUCUCAUCCAAAUGAUUCGGGUGCACACAAUUCCUAAUGUGUGUGACCGCAUAGGUUCAUUACCAUUCGGCAGUGGAGCUCAACAUCAAACUCUUUGAUAUUUAAUUAGAACUCUUCUAAUCAAUAAAUAAGAAUAAUUCAAUUCCAAUCAUUCAUAUUCUCUCACCGUUCGUGAGUGACACCUAACAGUAUAUCACGGUAAUCCAGAAUAGUGAUGAAAAAUGAACCUUUCUGCUUACAGUUACCAUGUGAUUAAUUCCUUCUAACAUACAGUGUCCCAAUCGAACUAAGGUUAUGGUUAUUCGCCAAUCCUUGUCAUUCGACCAUAUGACUAGAAUAUCUGAAAUCAACUCAAUAUGGUAACACAGUUAGAAACUCUUUUCACAUACCAUGUACUCUGGCCAGGGGUUUUCCGAGUCGAGUCUGAUAAACUACAUAGGACAUUCUCCCUCAUCAUUGAGAGUGUUGGAUUCCUUAUUGCGCAUUCACAUGCCUCCUCGCAUAAAUCACCACAGUCAAUCAGUACCGAACAUAGACCUGUAUCUAGAGUCUAAGUAUUAGUACUGUCAAACGGUAGCAACCUAUACAUGAAGCAACUAUGAUGCCUCAGGUCCGAGGAGUACUUCACACAACUAUAGCAAUGAACUUAUCACUGGCGAGUAUAGAACCAUGUAACUGUUUAACUAAAUAGUCACGCUUAGUAUACUUAUUCUCUAACAAGCACUUGUAUGCUUGUUCUAGUGUCACUACACUAGUGACUUGAGAUUCGUCACCUCAAUUAGAAACAUAGUAUACACCGGCCUAUCCGGAAUAUCAUCGUCCCUGUAAUAUUCCUCUGGCUAUGAGCAUUUAAAGAGUCUCAUACAGAAAAAUACAUAUAUCAAAUUUCUAUCUCUUAGGAAUUUUUUUUUUUUUUUCAAACAAAAACUCUAUGGACGAUUCAUGUCAAUAUUGCACUGCUAUAUAAUAGACAUGAAUAGAAUAUCUGCCCUCAUAUUGUGAAUUAUAAAUAAUUAAUACAUAAAUACUCUUAAACUAAUGUCACCAAAUUGGCUUUUGGGCAUAUAACUAAUAGGAUUAGUGCUUUCUACUAUUCUCUAUGUAAUUUGGUUUUUCGUAUAGUUAUAUGUUCAUCUUAUUAUGUUGAUUAUCUCUCUGAUUUCUCGUUGUUGUAGUUUAUGUUGUGGUUGAUGUGAUAGUUGAAUGUUUAUACUCUAGGUUCUUACGCCGUGCAUGUAUAGACUUUGUCCAUUUGGACAGGAGAGACUAUUUAUUUGGCGGUUCUGUGCACGCUUGAAGCAGCCUUUUGGUUUUGGUAAAAAAAAAAAUCAUACGUUUUUCACUUGUUUUGUUUUCUAUAAAGGAUUUUACAAAAGAGUUUCGGGGCAUGAUAUUAGGAUUUGAAAUAGUCUUAUGUAUGAGAUAUAAUAAAAUAAAAUUUUUAACUCGGCUAUAGCAUUUUGGACAGUGGCGAAGCCCAAGAGAGUUAAGCGUGUUAGGAUUAGAGUAGUCCUAUGAUGGGUGAACCCGUAGGAAGUGAGGCAUCACAAUAUAUAUUAAAAUAAUAUUAUAUUUUUGUUAUUAGGUCCAUAGUGCACCCGGUGCACAAAUGGAAUGGACACAUGUCCACAAACAAUGGCUCCUUUCUAUUGGAAAUUAUUGCCUGCACCUAGUAUAUGUGUACAUUUCCUACGCACCAAUAAAUUUAUACAAUAGAGUUGUCAAAACUAAAAUUUAAUUUAUUUUAUACUAUUCUAAAUGUCUAUAUAUUAGAAACUAUAAAAUUUAGAUAUAUAUAUAUAUCUAUUAAAAUAAAUUAUAUUCUUUUAUUAGGUCUACGGUGCAGCAGGUGCACUGAAUAUGUAGCAAGAUACAUGUUAACAUAUCAGGAGUGCUCCAUGCCCUUUAGUAUGUAGUAAUAGAUAAUAGAUUACCUUCCUAAUAAAUUACACCUUUAAUUCUCAAACAUUAAGGCAGUAGCCACUUUGUUCCUCAAACUAGGGAUGCAAACGGAUCCGGGUUGGUGGAGCUCCCGCCCCGAUCCGCCCCGACGGGGGUAGUAAAUGGGAGAAAAUAAACGGAUUCGGGGUGGAAAACGAGGUAAAUUUUACUAUCUGAGACGGAUUCAGGGCAGGAAACGGAAGAAAUUUUGACCCGCCCCGAAUCCGCCCCGAAUCCACCCCACCAUGAUCCGCCCCGAAUCCGCCCCGAAAAGUAUUUAUAUUUUUAAAAAAUAUUCCUAAAAAAUAAUGUAUUUACAAAAAAGUUUAAAAUACAAAUAACUUAGUACUCUUAUUUCUAAUAUAUUUGAAACUUUUAACCUGUCACGGAUUCGGGGCGGGAGGCGAGACGGGUUUUUGCUAGUCGGGGCGGGAGGCGGGGCGGGGCUCCCGCCCCCAGAUCCACUCCGUUUGCAUCCCUACCUCAAACUUAGUUAUUAUAAGUUUUGGCUCAAAUCUUUUAAAUUAUUGUAAUUAAGUUCUACAAUCUAAUUCAACUAAUUGAAUACUGAUAUUUUGCUAAUAUGGUAGUGAUGCGACAACUCAUUACACUAUAAGAAAAGAUAGUAUCAGUGGCAAAGAUAAGGUGGCGAUAAAAAAAAUUGUUACCGCUUAAUAAUUAACUUAAAGUGGCAAUAUUACUUUCAUCACUAAAUAACUAUAUCAUUACAUAUGGUGGUGAUAAAAAAAACUGCUACCGCUUAAUUAACUUAAAGUGGCAAAAUUGCUUUCGUCACUAAAUAACUAUAUGUUCAAUAUGGUGGCAAUAAAAAAAUCGCCAAUUAUUAUUUAAUAAAGUGUCGAUAUUAUUUUUGUCGCCGCUGUAUAAUCACAUAUGUAAGGUGACGAAAAUUAAAAUUAUCACCGAUUAAUUAACUUAAAAUAAUAUUAUUAUUUUCGCCACUAAAUAUCUAUUUUUCCAUCACUAUAUGAUCACAUACGGUGGCCAAGAAAAAUUUGUCAGCACUACAUUAAAGUAGUGAAUCAUUUACUUAUCGGAAAGUGUCUGAAAGGGGAAGAGUAGUUUCUUUUUCUUUUUUCUUUUUUUUUUCGGGAGAGAGAGAGAGAGAGAGAGAGAGAGAGAGAGAAGAGUUGGCAGGUAGUGCAUUUUAGCCGAAUUAUCAUCCUAAGCCACUUUUAGACAGUAGGUCAUUUUAGCCUAAUCACUUAAGAUUUUUUGGAGUGGUGUGUAAACAUUAAAUGAUUUUAAACUCCUAAAUUAAUUACGUAAUUGUCGUAUCAUCCAUUAUAGCACAACAACAUCACUAACAUAUCAAUGAUAUAUUCUUAUUUAAUCAAUAAAUUAGAAUGUGAGAUUUAGUCGUAAUAUUUUAAAAAGUUUAAGCUAGAAAUCACAAUCAAUUAAAGUUGGAAGACCAAAUUGUCACUUACUUUGAAGUUCGUGGACCAAAAGAAUAAUUUAGCCGUAUUUUUUAGUCCUGUUUUUUUUUUAUACAGCAAUUCUACGUAACUUUACCACUAUUAAACAGUUAAAUUUAAUUAUUUUUAUUUUACUAUAAUAAUCUGUUAUUAAAUAGGAUAGUAAGUAAAAUUUUUAAAAAAUUAUAGAAUAGUAAAGUAUAAAUUGUAAGAUGAUAAAAUGUCAUAUUGUACUGCUUGUAGUUUGUAAAAAAAUGUCACAUUAUUAUCCUAUUUUAUAGGAAGUCCUGACAGUGAAAUAAAAAUAAAAUUACCCAAUAAUUAAGUUCAACUCUUUGAAGUAAAGAGUGGCAAUGUAAAAUUGCACUGGAACUACUGAGGAGCAAAUUUAAAUUGACCUAGUCCAAUUAAAACCUAGACUAUGAUACAAUUUUGAAAAAAUUAUGAAAUUCAAUUUCGAUGUGAUGUAUUGGACCUUAACAAGUGAGAAAUGUUGCAGUAUGAAUUUUAGUCAGCACUUUUUUUACAGUGCUUGACUAAGAUGGAGACGUUUUGGCAUGAAAUAAAUACAAAAACGGGCUCAGAAACGUAAGAUUUAGCUUGUGGGAAACUAAAGUUAAAAUACUAGACUUUGAGGGACUUAAUGACAUUUUUGCAUUUGAAGUAGGUGGAGUCCACGAGGGCAUUUCCAUCCUUAUCCUUCCUUUCGAUAGAUUUUGAGAGCGAGGAAGAAUUUUGAGAGACAGGAAGAGAGCGAUUGAGUUGGCUAAGGAGAAAAAAAAAAAGAAGCAAGUUUACUUUUCUUUUCGAGCGAGCAAGUCGAGCAUCGUGUCUUUCUUUUGAUGUUUCGGUGCCAUAAUUUUUGCACUAAAAUUUUGGCUCCAUUAUCUUUAUGGAGAACAAUGUAAAAUCUAUACUGAUUAUAAAAAUUUUAAAUAUUUAUUUACGCAGAAAGAAUUGAAUUUGAGACAACACCGAUAGUUAGAAUUACUGAACGAUUAUGAUAUAACAAUACUUUAUCAUCCCAAUGAUGAUAAUAUAGUGGCAAAAGUAUUAAGCCGUAAAUUAGUGCAGAAUUUGAGUAUGAUGAUUACUAGUUAAGGGCCAUUGCCAGAGGGCUGAGGCGGUUGAAAUUGAAGGUUGUAUUCCUUGAAGUUUUUGCAAGACUUAUGGCUAUGAUCUUGCAACUCACUUUACUAGAAAAGAUUAAAGAGAAAUACGGUGGUGACUCGCAUUUCACGAAAAUUCGGACAGAAUAAGAGAGUGGACAAGUGAAGGAAUUAAGUGUUGAUGCCUCACAGAUAUUGAGAUUUCAGGAUCACUUGAGGAGAUAUUGAGGGAAGCACAUAGUUUCUCCUAUACUAUACAUCCUGUAGAAACAAAGAUGUACAAGGAUUUAAAAAUACAUUAUUGGCGGAAUGGUACGAAAAGGAAUAUUGGGAGAAUUGUAACACAGUGUUUGGCCUGUCAGCAAGUAAAAGCAGAAUAUCGAGAACCUGCUGGCAGACUGCAAAGUUUUCUAAUUCCUAAAUGGAAAUGGGACAGGAUCAUUAUGGAUUUUGUAAUUGACUUAUCAAGAUCACAGAGUGGACAUGAUGUGAUCCAUGUGAUAAUGGAUAGAUUGACUAAAUCUGCUCACUUCAUAUCAGCUCAAGUGACAUGGUCUAAAGAGAAACUUGGUCAGAUAUAUCUGGAUGAGAUCAUAAGCCUGCAUGGAGUUCCUACCUCUAUAGUGUCAGAUCGAGACCCAAGAUUUGUAGCACAUUUUUGAAAAACUUUACAGACAGCUUUGGGGACUAGUUACAGUUCAGUACAGCUUUUCAUCCGCAGAUUGAUGGACAGUCCAAGAGAAUGAUUCAGAUAUUGGAGGAUAUGUUGAGAGCAUGUGUCUUCGAGUAUGGUUGUGAAUGGUCGACAUUUGGUAAUGGUAGAGUUUAUAUAUAAUAAUAGUUAUCAAGCAAGUAUCGGAAUGGCUCCAUUUGAAGCAUUAUUAAGCAAGUAUUAGAAUGGCUCAAUUUGAGGCACUGUAUGGAAGAAAAUGUCGAUCACCACUAUAUUGGAUUGAAAUGGGUGAGAGAAAAACUCUAAGACCAGAUAUUUUAGUAGAAACAGAAGAAAAUGUUAGAAUUGCCCGACGACAUUUUUAGACCGCUCAAAGUCUACAGAAAAACUAUGCUGACACACAGCGUCAAGACUUAGAGUAUUUUCAGAUUGGAGAUUAUGUAUUUCCCAAAGUCUCGUCAUCUAAGGAAAAAACAAAGGAUUAGAAUGCAUGGAAUGCUUAGUCCACGAUUCAUUGGGCCUUUUGAAAUAAUUGAGCGAGUUGGGCCUAUUGCAUAUCGAUUAGCUUUGCCGCCGAGUUUAGCAAGUGUACAUGAUAUAUUUCAUGUCUCAACCAUGAUAAAAUAUAUGUUUGAUCCAUCACAUGUAAUAGAUUAUAUUUUGCUAGAGAUAACUGAGGAGAUGAGUUAUGUUGAGCGAUCAGUUCGAAUUCUUGCACGAAAGGUAAAAGAAUUACGAAGCCGAGUCAUUCCUUAUGUAGAGGUAUUAUGGAGUCAACGAGAAACGAGAGAGGACAUGGGAGUCUGAGGAUGCAAUGUGAGAAUCUUAUCCCUAUUUAUUUGAGCAGUCGAUUUGAGAUAUAUUUUAAGUUUCGAGUUAAGUUUCGAGAACGAAACUUUUUUUAAGAAGGGAAGGAUGUGAUAUAUUGGACCUUAGCAAAUAGGCAAUGUUGCAGUAUGGAUUUUAGUCAGCCUUGUUUUUAUAGUGCUUGACUGAGUUUGAGAUGUUUUGACAUGAAAUGGAUGCAAAAACGGACUCAAAAGCUCAAGAUUUAGCUUGUGGGGGACUACAGUUAAAAUACUAAACUUUGGCAUUUUUUGCAGUUGAAGUAGGUGGAGUCCACGAGGGCACCUCCAUCCUUAUCCUUCCUUUCAUUAGCUUUUGAGAGAGAGAGAGGGAGAGUCAGUUAAGGAGAAAAAGGGCAUUUAGAACGCGGUAUGAGUUUUAUGAAUUUAUAAUAAUGACAUUUGGAUUAACAAAUGCUCUAGUCGCAUUUAUGGAUAUGAUGAAUCAGGUAUUUCAGCCAUUUUUGGAUAGGUUUGUGGUGAUAUUUAUUGAUGAUAUCUUGAUAUAUUCCCGAAGUAUAGUUGAACAUGAGGAGCAUUUGAAAAUCGUAUUAUAAAUUUUGAGGGAAAAGAAACUUUAUGCUAAACUAAAGAAGUGCGAUUUCUAGUUACGAAAGAUUACUUUUCAUCGACAUGUGAUUUCAGCUGAUGGCCAUUAUAGUUGACCCAAACAAAAUUAAAACAAUUCGAGAUUGGCCUAGACCGAUAAGUGUUUAUGAGGUGCGAAGUUUUCUGGGGUUGGCUUGUUGUUAUCGUCGGUUUGUAGAAGGUUUUGUGAAACUUUCCACACCCCUCAUUCAACUGACCUGAAAAAAAUUAAAUAUAUUUGGAGUGAGAAUUUUCAAAGAGGUUUCUGAAGAAUUGAAAAAUAGAUUGAAGUUAGCCCCUAUUCUUGCCCUUCCUAUUAUAAGUGAGGGAUUUGUUAUUUAUAGUAAUGCAUCAUGGACUGGCCGGAUUGGAUUAUGUAUUAAUGAAGAAUGAUAGGAUAAUUAUCUAUACUUCAGACAGUUACAAUAAUUUGAGAAAAAUUACCUUGCGCAUGUGUUUUUUUUUUAGUGUUUCGACGUCAGGAUUAGUAUCAUAAUAUUAUUAUUAUUAUUUGUUUAGAUCUUUUGAUGGAUUUUUGUAGAGAUUGAAAGUCAAAAAUGAAUUUUUAUACGUUUUAGGAGUUGAUUUUGUAUGAUUUUGAUGAGAGAUUUUUUGAGCCACUCUGGGGUGUUGUAGCUAUUGUUCAUAAUACCGGAUCACUUCGCUGUCCCGACUAUUGUUUUGUUUUUUGGAUUUGCGCUAUAGGUGGGUUCCAUAUCGUCAAAAUUGGCAGACUAACUCUUAUAUCCAUAUUAUAUUAUGUAGCCUAUGAGAUGAACUAUUGACAUAGUUGAGAUAAUAAUGAUAUUUUGAUAUUUACCUGUAGAGUAUAUUGAGUCAUGCAUUAUUUUCACAGUUAGUAUUAUGUGAUAUUGUCUUGAUGGCCAAUAGACAGCGACAGAUAGUGUGAGAUUAGAAUUGUAUGUAAGACACUAUGACAGUAUUAUCAUGAUUUGUUUAACCAUCGCAUUUGACUACAACAUGCAUGUUAUUUUGAGCUUGAGAGUAAUACUAUACUCGAUUGGGGUAGCGCCCCACGAGUGCCACUCCUGAUGUUAGGCUAUGAAGUAUUAUUAUGGCAUGGGCCAGACAGUAGUCUGCGUGGUAGUGGACCAUUAUAGAUGGGUGCUGGACAGGAGGCGGCGCAGGCUAGACUUGAUUGUUGAGUCGAUCACUAUGAUUGGACAUUAUUAUACUAUUUUAUUCAGUAUCUAGUUGAUGCAUGAGUUGCAAAAUUUAGUUACAUUGUAGAGAUAGAUAUCAAUUGUUACUUUCAGCAAAUAUUCAUAUUGUUACUUGUUCAUUUAUACUGCUUAGUUAUUUACUAUUUCCGCCUCUUGUGGAUCUAGUGACGUGAAUUGUCGGCGUUGUCAACCAUACCCCCCGGGGUCUAUUGACUAUAGUGUAUAUCCUCUUUAUUAAUAUUUUAUUACAAAGCCUUCAGCACUAGUGACUGAUCGAGAUAAGGGUAUUGUGGAUAGUUAGCAUCUUCUAUCCUUUUUGUGUGUGCAGUUAGACUGCCUAUCGGCGUAUGUAAUAGCCUUUACAUUGUUUUGAGAUUUAGAGUGGCCGAAGAUGUUGUACUAGUUUGAGCAUUGGUGUGGUGAUGAUUGGAUAUCUACAGUGUUGUUAUAGUAUAUAGUUUUUAUUCUACUUUGAUACCUAUUGUUGUUAGAUUUCAGUAAAAUUUUUUAGACUGAUUUUGUUGAUACUUUGUGUGUAUAAGUUGUAUCCUUAUGCAUACGGUGGCAAGUCUAUUGACGUAAUCCGAGCUUCCGCUGUAAUCCGGGAUGUGACAAUAUUCUAGAUACAUUAAAUACUUUAUAUUAUUUUAAGAGUAUGGAUUAUCAAUUGGAGGCUCUAUAAUUAAAAAUAACUUAUAAAUACAAAGAUCAUUUUACUUACAACUGUACACUAGCAUUACUCUCUCACACCAUAUUUUUGGACUAACUUAAUUUUUCUUAAGGAAAGGUAAGGUGUGGUUUUGAUUGGUACUGUAGAUAUUAUUUUUUAAUAUAAUUUCUACAAAAAUAGUCUAGAAGUGAAUAAUUGAUUGAUUGAAACCAUAUAUAUAGAAACUUUAUAUUGGAAUUAACUUUUCUUUGCAUUUAAUUUUUUUUUUUUUUAAAAAAAGAAGCUAUCAUUCAUUAUGCCACAAGAGUGACUUUGCAAGCUAAGUAAUUAGGAUAAAAAAUAAAUAAAUUAAUAAAAUUCUAGCGAAAUAUCAAAUUAUAUAAAAUAUUGUUAUAAAAGAAUUAAAAAGCUGGCAACAAGUGGCAAAGGGCUUGGUGCAUGGUUGGUACCUGAGGUUCCAAAUUCGAAUAAUAGAUGAUUCAUAUAUUUAGCUAAGUUUAUUUCUUAAUGAAAUAAACGAAACAGAUAGCGUACGUGCUACCUAUAUCUCAAAAAAAAAAAAAAAAANAAAAAAAAAAAAAAAAAGAAGUCGGCUACAAAAUUUAUUUGGAACAAGUUGCUUUAAAGCCUACUAUACUAUUCAGUAAGCUAAUGGAAUCUACUAAUAAAUCACAACACUCUCAAAUAAUUUUAUUCACUGUCCCGACUUUUGAUGCAUUUUUUUAUUCAAACCAUUUUCAUUAAUUAAAUUAAAAAUUUUAAGAAAUAUAACAGUUAAACUCUAUUUAAGCAUAACUAUAUAUAUAUAUCUAAACAUUUUUCUCGACUGAGUGUAAAUUUUGCCAAUUAUUAUCAGCGAUCACCCAUUUGGCCAUAUUGAUCAGAUUCAACUCGCUACGUGACGGCAGAUUACCGACCGCCAAAUCAAAAUUAAAAAGCUUAUUAUUUUAAGAUCUAUUGAUUGGGACUCGGUCCAACCAACCUGUAUGCAUUAAUUCGUGAUUUAGGUUGAUUCGAUCGAUGACAAGCAGUGUCGUGUCGUGUCGUGUCGUGUCGUGUCAAGUCAAAUUGGUUUUAGUGUCUCUAUUUAUAAUAUGAUCAUAGCGGCAAUAUAUUCUUUCUAGAGACUAAUUAACCUUUCAAAUUUUUUACUUGUGAGUGGGACUAACCUUUCAAAUUUUUGUCCAAGUUGUUGCGUGUAAGAAUCAUGAAAGAAAUCUAGUAAUUUGUUCUUAAUUUCUUUGCUUACUACAAUUUCCAUGUUCAAAUACUAUUUGGUAUGUAAAUAUGUAAAUAUUUGUUUGGUGAAAAUGUAUGGAAACCCCCUCAAUUAUAUAUAGGCUAAAUUAUAGAAAACCCCCCUAUCAAUACCCGCUUUUUCACUUUUUCCCUCUGUCUUUUAAAAACCUAUACUUUGCUUUUUUGUAAAAAAAAAAAUAUUCACUUUACUCCCUAUCGUUAGCGUUCCGUUAGAAUUCCGUUUAUAAAAUAUUAUUAUAUAUUUUUUUAUAUCAAAAUAAUACCCUCAGUCUCCUCCUCAAUAUUGCUGCCUGUUGAGGGGCAAAUUGGUUAUUUUGUCAUUAUAGUUAACACCGCAGCCCCUUGUGAACAUUUUUCAUUUUACAAGGGUCAAAGUGUAGGUUUUUAAAUGACAGGGGGGAAUGUAUUGACAUGGAGAUUUUAGGUAAUUUAGCCUUAUAUAUAUAUAUAUAUAUAUAUAUAUGCUGUUUUUAUAUCCGUUCCUCUUCUUUUCUUUUUUUGUUGUUGACACUUUUUUCGGUUUUUAUUUUUUUUGUUUGAUAUCUUCUAGUUAAAGUUGAGAAUUUUGCUAAAUUUAGUACAUCUAAUAAUUAUUAACCACUAACUAUUUCAAAUUUAUUAGCUAAAAAUAAUUAGAUUUCAUGAAAUUAAUUGUCAUUGGGUUUUUGAUAAAAUUUUAAAUUUUAUUUACUAAAAUCACACUGCUUUAAAACUCAAAAAGUUAAGAAGAUCGCUACUAGUUUCAAAAAAUAUCCUAAUUCUUUUCCAAUUAAAUUUACCAAUAUAUAUUUAAUUUACAUCAUUAAUCAAACAUGUUAUUAAUUAAUUAACUUGUCCCUAAAAAUGAUACCCAAAAAAAAAAAAGGUAGUUUAUCUCUUACAAUUGGAUAAGAAAAAAAAUCAUCCACAGCAAAUUAUUCCCAAGAAACUAUAAUGCCAGCAUCUCUCUUUAUAUUGUCUCAUUCCUGCAGCUUAAUUUGCAUUCUUAAUGAAUGAAACGGAUAAAGUGCUACAUCUUUCCAAAAAAAAAAUAAUCGCAUCUUAAUAAUUAAUUCUAAUUAUUCUGAUUAUAGUUUGUAUUUUGAGGUUAGUUCAACAUCAAAUAAUUCUUUAAAAAUUUUGAGUAUAGCUAGGCACCCAACUGUUUGCAAUUAUUUUUGGCGCUCUCUUGACUUUUAAAAUUUUCUUAUUUAAGUUCUUUGGCCUUUUUAGUCUUCGAGGCCCAUCUAAUACUAGUAGGAAAAACAAAAGUUAGCACGAAACAUAUAGAAAUAUACUUCUUUAUUUUUCAGCAAUACUGUAGAAAAUAAAUUGUAAUUGACUUAUGGAACAUGUAGAAAUUAAGUUAUAUCACAUGUGACAACAAAUAUGAUUUUUUUUUUAUCGUAUUUUUCAACUGCAGCAGAUCGAUACCAUAAUCUCCCACAAUCCUAAACGAAGCCGUAGUUUAAUAUUGAACAAUAAUUUUCCAAAACUUGGUAAUUCUAAUUACUGUUUAGAGAAGGCGUUAGCCCUGCAACCUAAAUGGAGUUGCAAUCCAAGAGGAUAUAGGUGGUCAAAUUUAACUUAGGUGGAGACUUUUGGAGGUCAAAUCUUUGGUAUAUAUACGUACUCCGAUUGAGACAAUGAUUUUGUGUGCAGAUCGAGAAGUGUUCGUCAAACUCUAGCAACUAAAUUUAGUACGCGCUACUACUAAGUUCAAUAAUUUAUGCCAUUUUUGGUAUGAGUUUCGUAACAUUUUGAGGUCAUUUAAGCCUCGAUCGUAUAUUAUAGUCAAAAUUUGACUUUUUAUUUAUAUAAAAUUUGAUGUGAAAAUCUUUGUAUCGUUGUAGUAAAAUUUGAUGCACGUACGUACUCACUAUUUUGUGUCCAAAUAUGAUGUUAGUGAACCGACGUCUUUCCACGGAACGAAAAAAGGGAUCCCGAUCGAGUACCAUUUUGAUUCUCGCGCGGUAUGAUUCUGGAUUCUGUUUCAUGGCAAUCGAAUAGAAUUUUGUGCUUUUAUAAAUAAAUUCUUUGAAGUCUUUUUAAUUAAAAUGUUAAUAAAUAUUUAAUUUGAGCUAGUUUCUCUUAUCUCUUCGGUUCUCCAACAAUAUUCUAUUUCCAAACGAUUGAUUUCUAUGGAACAUCACGGAUCAAGUUGUUAUCUUAGCAAGUUGAUAUAUAAAACUUGCCUUAAUUAUUGUCUAUUUCGGUUUUGGCUACUUAACCUUUUAGGGCGCGUUUGGUUCGCAUUAUGAAAGAUUACUAAAAGUAAAAAGAUAUUCGCGAAUCUUAUUUCUAUUCAUCCUAUUACUAAGAAUGUAGUAUUUCGGUGUUUGGUUCGUACGGUCAUAUUAUUUAGUCAUGUUAUUUAAAAUUACGAAAAAUAUAAAAUUAAAUUAAUUAAUUAAUUAAUUAAUUUAAUUUUAAAUAAUACUAUAAAAAAUUUCAAUAUUUUUUUAGAAAAAAAAAAGAGAAAGAAUAUAGAUUAAAAAGAGAGAGCAUAUUUGAAGAAAUAUGAAGAAAAAUAGAGUCGAUGUUAGAGAGAAUGAAAGGGUUGCGAUUUUAAAAAAAUAGGGGAAAAAAUAGCUUAAUUUAAAGAGAGAAAAAGAGUUGAAGUAAAGAGAGAAAAAGAUAAGUUUAGAGAGAGAUAUGAGGUUAGAGUGUAAAGAAAAAUAAUACCAACUAGUCGGCGGGUAGGGAAGAAAAAAAAAAAAAAACAGACAUAUUAUAAUUACUCCAAUCCAUUAAUAUAAGGAUACCCACCCUCUCACAAAAGAAUAAGAUUAAUACUUUGGGAUGCAUCUCAUUCUCAAGUAAAUCUAGUAUUACUAACUAGAUUACUUAGUGCGUUUAGCCAAAUAACGUCAUAUUUUUUUAUUCCAAUUGGAUUAUUAGGAAUCUUUAAAAGAUAACGCGAAUCAAACGCACCCUUAAGUCUUUUAAUUUUGCUAUCUAUUUUUUAAUUUAUUUGAUUAAUUUGUGCGAAUUAAUAACUCUUUAAUUUCAAAAUUGGAAGGAAAGGAAUGAGGUGAUCUUUGAGGGGAAGAAUUUCUCAAUCACUAUAGUCAUUUCAAGGGCACACAGCUGGACGGCCUUAUACUCCAACAAGAACAUAAUAAGAAUCAGCAUACAGAACCCAACUCUGAUUCAAGAACUCGCGAUCUCUUCCUUUUAUGUGUGAGUAGAUGGGAGUUGGAAAGGCGGUACUGAAGGUGGUGUAGGAUGUAUGAUUACUAAUCAACAUAGCACCAUCGCAUGCAUAUCUCACGUAAUAAAGUGGUCCACGAUGCCUGCUCGGCGGAAAUUGGAGCAAUUAUCCGAGUGACAAAGCUUCAUUUGCAAAUGUAUCUUGAAAAACCUUUUCAUAUCUUCUCAAAUUCAGCAUCCAUCAUCAAAGCUUUGCACCUUGUGAGUUAUCACUCAAAUUCGCUAACACCUGAAGCUCGGACAAGAAUCAAGGAGCUAUGGACUUUUACUGAGAGAUAUAAUUACUUCAGCUUCGGAUGGAAUUGGAGAUUUUCUAAAAAUGUUAUAGUUGCGGAUCGCUUAGCAACUUGGAGACUCGCACACAAAAAGCUUUCUUUUCGGUCUUCUAUUGAUAAAUUUUCUCAGUCUAUAUCCACUGAUUAAUUAAAUAAAAUUAUCUCCGGACAUGUUUUUCCUCAAAGAAAAAAAAAAAAAACAUUAUUUUUUAUUGGUCUUAUCAUUCUUCUGAUUUUAAAAUUACUAAAGUCAAAAAAGUGUCUUUUUAAAUCCUACGAAAUAUCAUUACAACCCUAUGUGAUCGAACGUCAUAUUUUACAAUUAAUCAACCCUCUUUGGGUUGUAGAUCUAGCAUUAAUUCUCGCUAGCAAAUAAAAGUACAAUAAUUAACAGCUAAUAAGUGAUGGAGCUGUAUCUUCAAUUCAACUAAUUAAUUAAGGCAUUGUUUGGCAUCAUUCCUAUUACUCAAACAAAAAAAAAAAAAAAAAAAUUGAUAUAUACUAAAUGGUCGAGAAUUAGUAGGUGAACCAUGUCACUUCCAUCAACUAGAGAGAAAAUAUGGAAGAGACAGCGAAAUAAUUAAUAUUUAAAUCUACACCAUUAAAAAGCUGGACACAAUAAUCAACUUUAGGACCUUUUAGAACGGAAAAGUCUGAUACCAUGUUAUUCAAAAGAUUAAUUCAGUAAGAAAUAAUUCAAGAUUAGUUUUAUCGGUCCCUAUUUUUCAAGCAUAAAUCAGAUGAAUUAGAUAUCUCAACAAACAAACGGACUAUUCCUCUUGUUAUGGUGUUGAUUAACUUGCAAUGCAUUUCAAUCUAAUAACACGUGACAACUUAUUUUUGCUUUAAAAAAAAUCAAAUAUGUAAAAGAAAAAUACUUUCAUAUUUUUAAUCUUAGUUCCUAAAUAAAUAUCUCGUAUGUAAAAAAUACAAGCAAUCCAUCACUCAUCCUAAAACUUUUUUAUAUAUAUUGGCGAUUUUAUUGUUCACCGCAAAGUUGAGACAUUGUCGGGUGAGGAUCAAAGAAUGGUGCACUAAUGUGUUCUACAGCAUUAGAAAAGCUAAGACGAUACUGAUGGACGAAAUACAGAGAAUAGACAAAGCAGAAGAAGCGAAUAAUCUGGAGCCUGAGUAUAGAAAUAAGAGAGCGGCGCUAAAGGAUGAGUUGACGAGGGUUUUGAGUGACGAGACCUCUCUAUGGAAAACUCGGGCCAAACAACAUUGGCUUCGUGAGGGGGACGGUAACACUAAAUUCUUUCACUCAGUCGCAAAUGGCAGGCGUAGAGCUAACUGGAUCGGCACGAUGGAAGAAAAUGGUAUCAGCUACCAAUCUGAAGAGGAUAAGCGAUACUACUUCUACCGUUCCUUUAAGUCAAUCUUCACUCCCGACCCGUCAAAUCCGACUUCCUUUGGGGACUGGACCAGGCUAUUCAUAUCCGACCGAGUAGUAGAUACCAAUCUCUCGAGGUUGACCGAGCCGUUUAACUUACAAGAAAUCAAGGAAGCAGUGUUCCAGUUGGGGGGUGACAAGGCACUAGGACCGGAUGGCUUUCCACUUAACUUCUACCAAACGUUCUGGGACACGGUCAAGGAGGAUUUAUUGAGCGUUUUUAAAGAACUGCACGAGGGGAGACAUUCCUCCGCCGCUAUCGAUUAUACCUUCAUUCCUCUUAUUCCUAAGAAGGAGGGGGCCACCCGGGCUAAUGAUUUUCGACCUAUAAGUCUGUUGAACGGGAUUCAAAAAAUAAUAUCUAAGGUCUUGGCCAACAGAUUGGAGCAAGUCAUGAAGGGCUUGAUAUCCCCGACCCCAAUCUGCCUUCUUGAAAGGCAGGAACAUUACCGAUGCAUUUGCCUCUGUUUCCGAGCUUGUUAGUUAGGGGUUUAAAAAGGCGGUUGACGGCGUGGGAGUUAAGGUGGACUUUGAGAAGGCCUAUGAUAGGAUUUUGUGGCCAUUCCUUUUCCAAAUAUUACGAUGGUGGGGAUUCAAUGAUACAUGGUGCGGUUGGAUAGAAACAUAUGUGUGUGACGCAAAAGUGGCGAUCCUUGUGAACGGCGAACCGACCAACUGGAUUAAGAUGAGGAGAGGUGUAAGACAGGGGGACCCACUCUCGCCAUUCCUUUUUCUUUUGGUGGCGGAAUGUUUGGCACGAAUGACCAAAGAGGCAACCACUAACAAUUUCAUCAAAGGAAUUGGUCAGUCUGGGGCUUGUAAGGUCACUCUUAUCCAGUUUGCGGACGAUACCUUUUUCUUCUGCACGGCUAGAAACAGGUUCAUGAAAACCCUGAGGUUUCUAUGGAGGCUUUUCGAAUGGGCAUCCGGUAUGAAGAUCAAUAGGGAGAAGUCGGAGCUCUACUACCUGGGGCAGGAGGAAGGCAAAGGAACGAGGUUAGCUAAUACUCUUGGGUGUAGAGUCGGCACCCUCCCGGCCUUAUAUUUGGGCUUACCUCUCUCCCCUAAACCACCUUCCAAGGAAGUGUGGACGGAAUCAUUCAGAAGAUUCAGCGUAAAAUUGAGGGCUGGCAAGCUAAACUUCUUUCUAGGGGAGGGAGACUCAUCCUGGUUAAUGCAGUGUUAACCAGCAUACCCCUAUAUUAUUUAUCUGUGUUCAAGGCACCCGCUUGGGUGAUUAAGCAAAUUGAAGCCAUUAGAAGAGAUUUUUUCUGGUGCGGUAGUCGUAACAAUGUUGGCAUGGGAUGUUUGGUGGCUUGGAAAAACGUCUGCAGGUCCAAGAAAGAAGGUGGGUUAGGGAUCUUGGACGCGGAGAUCAUGAAUCAGGCCCUUCUGACUAAGUGGUGGUGGAAAUUCCACACUGAACCUGAACUACUGUGGAAUAAGCUAACACGUGAUUUGUACUAUCGCAGAAGGAUACCCCUCAGGGAAGGUACAUCCUUUAGGCCAUUCUCCAGCUGGUGGAAAGGUUGCCUUUCGGUAUCUACCAUCUUUAAAUGGGGGACGGCAUUCUCGCUUGGUAACGGGAGUAGCAUCGAUUUCUGGCAGGAUCGGUGGUGUAGAGAGAAAACGUUGAACCGGACGUUCCCGGAAGCUUACCAAGGGUCGGUAGGGAAAAAUCUUAGAGUAAGCGAAUGCCUUACAGGGGGAAAUUGGAACUGGUCCAAGAUCCUGGGAAUCGAGGUGGGACAAGCUCUUGGGAGGGUACCAGGCAUCUCGGAAUUAAUGCAAACGAUAUCUAGCUUCUCCGUCGAGCAGGGAUCAGAUAGGUUACUUUGGAGAUAGAACCCCGAUGGCAAAUUCUCGGUCAAAUCCACCUAUUCGGCUUUGUUGGAUGGCGGUACGAGAGAUGAACAAGCCACAUGUAUUUGGAGUCUUACAAUCCCGCUGAAAGUUAAAGUUUUCGUGUGGCUGCUUCUCAAGAAAAGAAUCCUCACAAGAGAUAGGCUUGUCAAGCGAGGGUGGAUUCAGGAUCCAACCUGUGUGCUUUGUGGGGUGAAGGUUGAAUCAACGGAUCAUCUAUUCACCAGGUGUGUAUUUGGUAAGUUUGUAUUGGUGACAGGGGUGGAAGACAUCCAAGCUCUUGACCUGGGGGUCGAUGUGAACCUAGUUUGGGACAGGUGGAGGGAGAAAAACGCACAUCUGAACAAGCGCUCCGGUCUCAUUGACCUAGUAGGGUGUUGGUGGAUUAUCUGGAAGACCAGGAACGAUACGAUCUUUCGGAAUAUCUGGCCUAACCCAGGGGUAGCGGUAAACAGUCUCAAGAAACUGCUGAAGGAGUGGGAACCGCUGCUCGGAUCAAUUUAGUACUUUUGUACCCUUUUUUUUUUUUUUAACCUUGCCUUGACCAUUCCGCGGGGCCUAGUUGCCCCACACUUGUAGCUUAACUCUCCUAUGCAUUUAUAGAAAGAUAUAUUAGAAUUAGGUUACUAUACUAUCUAUAAUACCGGAGGUUCGGUAUUAUAGUCUCGUUUUCAAUUUUAGAAUACUUUAAAUCAACUAUCCAUACUAUUAAAUAUGAUUUAGGGUAUAUGAAGUUCUUAGAAAUAAAAUUUUUGUAUUUUUCGACGUCGUUUACUUAGUAAGUAAAUCGUGUCAAAAUGAACGGUUGAAAUUGAAAUCUUUAAAAUUUGAGAAUAGAACUUUUAAAUUCAAGAUCAAGAAUCCUGACCUUGAUCUAGAUGUUUAAAUUAUGUUCUAUCAAUAUUUGAAUAAAUUUAAAUUUUUCUACACCGUUGAACUAUAAACUCGUCAUUGAAAAUUAACAAUUUUGAAAUGAUUUGAAGUUAAUUACACAAAUAUAUACAAAACAUGCGAUCAGAAAAUCUGCCGAAAAUUAUGUCUUGUAAUCAAGCUAGCAUUACUUGUAUUUUAUUAAGAACAGAUAAGAAAUUGUUCAGUUAGUAACUUUACUUGCGGAGAGAAACUUAUUAAACGUACAAUUUGAAAACGUUAAGAGGUCUAAUUGUUAUACUUAAAAAAAAUAAUAAUAAUAAUAAUAAUAAUUAAAGAUCUCUGUUUGCAAAUUAAAGUGAUAAAGUUAAGGGGUUAUUAUGCUUUUUUUCCCUACAUAUAUAUUUUUUCACCACCAAUUCUGUAGUGACAUUAUCAUCGGCAGUGACGUAUGACGCACCAACCAAAAUCAAAUCCAACUUAAAUUGACUACAUGCAUCUUCCGUGGCUACAUUGAAAACUAAUUUCUUUACUUUAUAUUGUUUUCUUCAGUGUAUAAUAAUAAAAAUAAUGGAAACAUGCCCACUCAUCCACCAUACUCACAUAUAGGGAUGGGAGCUAUUUAUGGUCGAAGCCCACAGAAUUUGAGGAGUUAAAAAUGGGUUGGAUCAUCUCUAGAUUAGUGGAGGGUCCAAAAGAUAAUCCGACCCGCAUUCGACCCGCAUACGUACAUUUGUUCUAGUCUAAUUAAGACUGAAUUCGAAUUUUAGGAUUUAUAGUUCGAGGAAGAAGAUACCAACCAUCUAAUCUAAUCAGUGAUCUGCUUCUUUGCCGACUGCUGUUGCAGUUGGUACUGGUUUAAUUGGGUUCAAUUGUAACUGCAAAAGUUAAACUAGAUCUGUGAUACAAUUCCAACUGUGAGGCCCCAGAUAGGCCUAUAUAUAAGAUAUAAUAGGGCUAAAACUUCUAAUCCGGCUUAAACAUUUUGGGUGGUGAUUAGGCCCAAGAGGUUAAGAGAGUUAAGCGUGCUAGGACGGGAGUAGCCAUAGGAUGGAUGACCCCUGGGAAGUUGGGGCGUCAUAGUUGGUAUCGGAGCCAAUUACAAGCCGGAAGUGUGAGAUGAGUCUCAGCUGAGUAGAGGUCGGAAUGACAAGACUAGCGAGAUAAGUCUCACAUCGCCUGAUACUCAUGAGUCUGAGCCUGACGAAAACGUCAAGUGUCACGCCCCGGAUUUCACGUUCCCCAGGCACGCCGACAGAUNCGUGACCCGGCGCGCGCCCAACGAGAGCCCAACCGAGGACAUGACCAUGCGCUAGGGCACAUGGCCAUGUGGUCCCAUCCACUCCCCCGUAAACUCAUUUAAAAGUGGAGCAAACAUAGUUGUCGAGAGAGAGAGAAAUAUCGAAGCACAUCUCUCUCUCUCCCCCGAAGGACAACGAGAAGUGAUAGAGAGAGAGAGAGAGAGCCGAUUUCCAUCCCUUCUUCGGCCAACCCCUAAAGCAGCGGCUGCAGCGCGGCGCUUGGCAAGCUCGCGUGAACGACGGCCUCGAAACGCUCCUCCGGCCCGCUCCCUCGCAGAAGUGACAAGAACUGCAGCGCGGCUCCAAGCUGCGACAGCUCCACCCACUAAGCCGCAGAAAAGACCUAAAACCCGUUCAUAAUGAUAAAAGAUGAGCCAAACAUCGACAAAACGACUUUAGGUGGCAGCUGACAAGCAUAAAGUCGAGCAAGAGGCGCAUCCUCACAGCCUAGUGCUGCUUUGAACCAAGUAACCUAAGAUCUGACGCUCUCCAAAGGUGUCUCGGGAGUGAACGUUAAAAACCACUUCCAAUCGAGCCAGCUUAGGGCAAAGAUGAGUCGACGACAUUAAAAGACCUGACUUAACUCCUAAGAAUUAACAAAUCGAACCUUAAUCGAGCUAACGCUCUUAGCCUGCAAAAGUCAGUUGGGUCGUCCACCACAGCGUCGACUCCCCUCAUAAGGCGACGGACCCUAAUCGCACGCUCCACCCAAUGUAGCCAAAACUGAGGAUUCAAGAUUAGCAGCUGUACAUAUUUACAACUAACAACGAUAUCGGAAAAGAUCGAGCUUAAGCACCUAAAUUAAUAACAACCAUUAAGACUUAAACCUCGUACCGUAUAAAUUUAAUUUAUCAAAGAUGUACAACCUGAACCUUUAACUUAAUCCUCUUUUGAACGCUAAACCUGGACAGUGGUCAAAAUUGAUGGACUAAAUCGAGAUCCUCGGCAGUCUUUUAACAUGACAGCGUCAAAGAAGCUCUGCUCAUGAGGUCCAUCAAAUCUUACAUAAAUGUGAGCACGACCAAGCGGCUCACCUAAAAAUGUCCCAGCAAGUCCAACAAGGCCUGACAACCCAUGGCAGUCUCAACUGCCACCUGGGCAUAGCGGAAAAACCGCAGUCUAACACGGCUCCCGUGCAAUGGACAACCAACAAUCUGGUCAAACUCAGCUAAUGAACUGAAACCGAUCAACCUCGGACAAACUCGAGCUGUCUCUAUGCGACGUAUGAGCCAACCCAUCGCGGGUGCUCACGGUGAGGCCUCAGUCCGAACGCGAAAACGCAACCACAGCGAGUACGGUCAACCUGAACGAGAGGUGCCUGGUCAAUCUUACCUAUCUCGGACUAUCAGCGUUGCCCCGUCCCUGCCCACAUAAGAGUGUACCGGUACACCUUAAUGGCUGUACCGGUACAGCAAGCGGAAAAACUGCUAUUUGCAGAUUUUCUUCGCUGAAAGCUGCCCUCGCGUCGCACGGAGUCCGUUUUGCGUCUAUUUGGCGCCAACGCGACUCAGACCUGUCCCGACACUCUACAGAGCUGUCGACAAGCCUCCAGAGCUGAACACCAGGGAUCUCACAUCAGGGAUUAAAGUGGGAGAGAUUGUAAAACCCCAAAUAGUCCUAUAUAUAUAUAAUAUAUAAUAGAGUUAGAACUCUUAACUCGAUUUAAGUAUUUUGGACGGUGGCUAAGCCCAAAAAGUUUAAAGAGUUAAACGUGUUAGGACGGGAGUAGUUUUAGAAUGAAUGACCCCUGAGAAGUUGGGGCGUCGCACCAACUCAAUCGACUUCAAAUAUAACGAUCUAAACAUUGUGUUUGAAUUUCGCAAUUGUAAAAUAGUGGCAAUCACGUGCAACCAAUAAAUCAAACCUUUCAUAUAUAGCGGUGUGAUAAAUCCAACAACACGUUAUAUGAUCACAACUUAGUUGUUGAAAAUUUUAAGUUUGAUUAAAGAUUUGUUCAACUAGUUAAAAUAAUUUAUUUGUACUUUAGACUUGCGAUUGUGCUUUUAUGCUCUCUUUUUUUUUCUUUUCUUUUUUUUUUUUCUCCAAAUGCAUACCAUUAUGUAAACAAAAGUGUACUCUUGUAAUGGCAUAUUAAGGAAAAGAAAAGGAAAAAAAAGCAAAUACAUUAUAUGCAUUUGUGGACUUGGUCUUAAAGUUUCAAUGUGAAUGGGGAACAAUUAGAUGAUCCCUACUAAAGUCACAAAUUACUCUUCAAUGGAACAUUAUCAACAAUUUAUUAAUGACUAAAAUUGGACCUUUACCUAAUUCAAAAAGGCACUAUAAACACUCAUGUUUGAAAUUGUUGACAUGUUCUAUUAUUGUUAAUUUCUCCUUUGAAAUUAUUGUGUUGACACUAAAGAAAAAGAAAAAAAGAAAGAAAAAGAAAGGGUCAAAAUCACAAGGACCUAAAUGAUAGCUGUAAUUGGAUAUACUGCCAAAAUUUUGAACAGAUAAGCUAAUUUAAUUUUGAAUUUUUUUAAUAAAAUUUUGAUUAUUUUUGCAACAAAUUAAAGCUAAUUAAUAGGCCAAAGUAUCAUUAGAAAAAACAAAUCUUUUUAUUAUCUUAACACAAGAAAGUUACUACUACUACUAGCUACUUCAUUGCUGCUUAAUUUUGAUUUGUGAGGAUAAAUAGUGAAUUAAUAACAAAAUCAUUUUUGUAAAUGUAUGCAAUCAUUAGGGGCUGAGUUACAAAUAAAUAAAUAAAUAAAUAAAUAAACAAAUAAACAAAGUCAAGAAAAGUAAGUAAUGCCAGCUGAGGUUGAAUGAUUGGCAACAGUCAGCAGUCUUUUUUUUGUGAACAUCUUUAUAUUCAGUCCUCAUUUGACUGGGCUUUUAUUUUAUUUUUUUUUUUUAGUCCUAGUCAAUUUUUUAAAACAUUUUUUUAAUUAAAAAAAAAUCCAAACCUUCUGGUGCUAUGUUUAUUUUGGAAAAUUCCAAUUUAGUCUAAUUGUUUACAUUUCUGGCUAAAUAUAUUUUUUUAAAAAAAAUAAACAGGCAGAAAACGUACUAUUUUUUUUCAAAAAAUAAAUUUUUAAUUAAAAAAAAUUUAUAAGUCAAGUGAAAAAGUUCUAGCAGAGUAUAAAUUUUACAUCUUAUAUCAUUGGUGUACAGAUAGCAUUGCACUUGUUUUUAACCGUUAGAAUAAUAAUUUAUAAUAUUUCUUUUAACAGUAGGCUAAAUUACGGAAAACUCUCUUACAAAUGCCUAUUAUUUACUUUCCCUCUCUAACUUUCAAAAAUUUAUAUUUUACCCACUCAAUAUUUUUAAAUUGUUGCAUUUGGUCCCUCUCCAUUAGUGUUCUAUCACUAUUCCGUCUAUUUCUUAUAAGUUAUAUCGAAAAUAUCUUUCAAAAUAACAAAAAUAUAUUAAAAAAUAUUUUUUUUAUAUAAAAGAAGUAAGAGCAAUUUAGUCAUUUUGCUCUCUCCAUUAAUACCGUAUCCCUCUGAAAACAUUUCUGAAAUUUUAAGACGGCAGAAUAUAAAUUUUUAAAAAUUAAAAAAAAAGUAAAAAAAUAAGUAUUUACAAAAAUAUUUUCUGUAAUUUAACCUUAACAAUACUAUUCAAAUAAAAUUUUAUUAAAUAGUGUUAUACAAUACGGGCUUGUUUUACAGGCAAAAGAAUAGACCGUAAAUCAGCUAUAGACUUGUUUGUCUCACUGAAAGUUGACAAAGAUGAAGUGAUUUUUAAUCGUGAAUAUCAUUUCAGUCGUUUGACGCAUCAUAAAUUAAGUUCGAUCUUAACUCAAUUUCUUUUGAAGCAAGAUAAUAUAUUUUGCUCCGACUGGUUGUUUAGUCCAUUAUGGGACCAAUAAAAAAAAUUAAUUGAUGUAACUUUUUUCAUUCUCUUAUGAGCAUAUGCUAGUAGAGAAUUUUGGGUAAAAAUAAAACAAAGAAUAUAGAGAAAUUUAGCUUUCAUGUCAGUAACUUACUGCUAAAUAAAUAAUAUAACUAAAAUAAAAAUUAGUUUAAGAGUCAUUAACUUUUUGUCAAAAAAUAUCGAAAAAUGAUUUUCAUGUCGACUUUAGUGUCUUUAAUUGGCAUGUUUGGAUCUUCAAAAGUGGCUAAAGUAAAAAAAGUGACGUUUAUAAAAAUAAUUUUUUUAGUUGGAUUGUUUGGAUGACUGUAGAGAGAAAAAUAGAAAAUUAUAGUUUUAUAGUUUCUGUUAUUUGAUUAUAUUUAUAUAAGCGAAAAUAUAGAAAAUAAACAACUUACACUCAUAAUUUACAUUAAAAAUUUAAGUUUAAAUUUAUAUUUAGAAUUCAAGAUUAAAUUUUAAAAUUUAAAUUUAAACUUAAGUCUGAGUUGAAUUUAUAGUUAAAAUUUAAGACAUGCAAUUAAAUUUAUAAUUUGAAUUUUAAGUUUAAGUUACAAUUCAAAGCUGUAAUUAAAUUUUAAAAUCAAAUUUCAACAUAAAAAUUAAAACAUUAAUUCACAUUUUGACUUCAAAUUUCAACUUGAAUUCAAAUUGAACAUUUGAAUUCAUAAUUCAAAUUCAAAGUUCAAACUGAAACUCAUUGUGAAAUUAAAUUCAAAAUGCAAACUUAAAUUCGACUUCAAAUUUCAACUUAAGAAUUUAAAUUUUGAAUUUAAGUUUCAAUCAAUAAUUUAAAUUUAUAGUUUGGAACAAUUUGAAUUCAAAGUUCAAGUUGAAUUUCCUUUCUAAAAAUAAUUUUAUUAAAAUUUAAAUUUAAAAUUUAAAUUUGGAAUUCAUAUUUAAAUUUAAAGAUUUAAUAUGUAAUAUAAAUUCACAAAUCUAAAUUAAGAAAUUUUGUGUCGAAUUUAAAAUUACAAAUAAAAUUCAGAAUGUAAAAUUAAAUUCUUUGAUUUCAAUUCAAAUUGAAUGUAAAACUCUGUUUUAAAAAUAAAAUUCAAAGAUCAAAGCUAAAACCAAUAAGCUAUCCAUUUUCUGUGACUUUGAAAUUUUUCGAAAAAAAGAAAAAUAGAUUAAAUUACAACCUAUUUUAACAAUCCAUUUUUAUAAAUAAUUUUUAAAUUUCGUUUUACAAAUUAAACAAUUAAUAAGACGUUAUUGUUUGAAAAUGUUACUUUUGGUGCUUUGCUUUGGAUUAACUAGGGCUUAUUUUGGUAUUGAGAUCUAUCUAACGUUAUUAGAUAAAAUGGAGUUAAGAAAAAAGCAUAUAGGGAUACGCUCUGCGUUCUCCGGUGGGACCGUAGAAAAUAUGUCGUAACCGUCUCAUCGCGAUAUGCGGAACGCAAUAUUGCAUAUAUUUUCUCACCGCACGUAACGCAAUCUCCCCGCAAUUCCAAACGAAAUCUAAUUAUGCUCUAACAAGAAGGCCAUUAGCGGAUUUGUUUGUUUUAAAAUCCGACCCGAAACCAGAACCUCAAAAAUCGGGCCGGUUGGUGGUUGGGCAGCCGCUAGGGGCCCACACAGUCCAUUUUUGAUUUUAAAUUUUAUUUUAUUUUGUAUUUUAGGAAAAAAAAAAAGUUAUUUUUUAAAUGGGACCCUCUAUUUUUAACUUUUUGACCGCAGAUCCCUUAUUAGUUUCCGAUCUUUUGAAAUUAAGUGAUUUUAAUCUUGGAAAUUUUUUCAUCCAAAUUUAUCGAUAAUUUUGUCAAUUUAAAAUUUUAAUUAACAAAAAUAAAAUAAUUAAUAUAUAACGGCUAAUAAAAUUAACUAAAGUUGUAUCAAACGCCCACUUAUUUGACCAGAUAAAGUUAGUUUUUUUAUUUCUUCCAAAUAACUAUUGUUUAGCAAAUAAAUAUUUUUUAUUCAUUUUUAACAUUAUGUGUUAUUUUAAUAUUUAUACUCUUAUUCUGUGUCCUUCUACGUAAACUAUUAUUAUUAUUAAUUAUUUAAAAAUAAUUUAAAAUUUUUUAAUUUAAAAGCAAUUUUGUUAAAACGGUGGAAAUUUAACCGUCAAUUAAUAAAUAUAGUCAAUAUGUACGGAUAUUGCUUUAGAAAAAAGUAUAUUUGAUAACUUAUGUUUUGUAUCGUAUAGUACAGGGAGAUAUAUGAAAUUAAUCAAUUUUUAAAUUUAUUUUAGUUAUUUUUACCCCUUUUAUAUAUAUAUAUAUAUAUAUAUAUAUAUAUAUAUAUAUAUAUAUAUAUAUAUAUAUANAAUUUAAUAUAGUCAACAUCUACGGAUUCAGUCUUAGGAAAAAAAAAAAAAACUUUUUAGAAAUAAGGGUCAAAUGCAUACAGGUCCCUACAAAUAUAACGAAUUGCAAAUAUAUCCUUGUAAAGUUCAACUUUUAUAAAUUAUUUUUGCAAAAGUACUAAUAUUUUCAUAUAUAUCCCUACCGUUAGAAUCCGUUAGAAAAGUUUAGUUUACUAUAGGUUAAAUAUUUUACUCGGAUUAAUUUUUGACAUUUCUACUCCUCUUAUAUUAUAGUGUUAUAAUUUUUGGAGGGACGUAUUUUUGAUGGCGAAAUUGAAAAUAUAAACAGUUUUCUAACGGUUCUCUAACGAUAACAAAGCAAAGGGAAAUAUCUAAAAACAUCAGGACUUUUGCAGGAAUAACUUGUGAAAGUUGAACUUUACAGGAAUUUAUUUGCAAUUCACUAUGUUUAUGGAAACUUGUAUGCAAUUAACCCUAGAAAGAAAUGCACAAUUUCAAGACUUUAUAGGGAUAUAUAUGAAAUUAUCCAUUUUUUUUUAUAUAUUUUAGUUAUUUUUACCCCUUCCGUUUUCUCCUCCGGGUACUCAUCUCUCUCUCUCUCUCUCUCUCUCUCUCUCUCUCUCUUGUCCAACACAUGUCGUGAGUUUCUCUAACACCUUGCUCUUUUUAACUUUUUUUUUUAAUUUUUUUUUAAAUUUUGUGUGUUUGCAACUCUUCAAUUCUAUGUUAUUUUGAUGGAGAUCCAACUAUUUGCUAAUUUAUUUUUUUUUAAAAAAAUUCCUGAGUAACAAUUGAUUUCUAUGCCCUAAAGAUUAUUGGAUUUAUUCCCAAUAGAAGGUAUGUUCGUUGGAUUUGAUCAGGGAGCUAGAAAUUUUGAAACUUUUAGAAAUUGAGCGAUCAAACAGGUCAAAUAUCAUGCUUCUCAAUUUUUUUAGGUGCAUAAAUUUGAUUGUGGUUGUGGGUUAUAUAAGAAUUUUUCUAAUUUUUUUGUUGAUCUAUUGGAUGGCCGUGUUUUCCAACACCAGUAGGAGAAUCAAUAACCAUGGUGGAGUAUAAUUAUGUUGAUAAAAAUGGAUCAGUGAUAAAUUAGUAUAUAUUUGGAGUUGUGGUAAUUUAUUGAUCUCAAAAGGAUUUUUUGGGUUUUUUUUUUUUUUUUGGAGAAAGGGAGAAAUUUUAGAGGUUCUGAUUUGAUUUUGUGGUGAUGUUUAAUCAUUUUAAGGGGGAUAAAGUUAACUUUUUUUUUUUUUCCUUGAAUUAAUGAAUUUGGGAGUUUGAAUGACUUGUUAAUAUGAGUGUAAUAGCAUGAGAAGGUCUACAAUAACUUAAAAACGUAGAGAUAUAUACGUGUGAAAAUUUCUUUUGUAAUUCGUUUAUGAUAACAAAAUCUUUACCAAAGCCUUUGGUUAUUCGUACACACCGUUUAAUGAUUGUGAAGAUUCGAAAUUUGAAACCAUGGAGACGUGAAUUAUCGGGAAAAUUCACCUUCUUUCAACUCUUCAUCUCCUAGUGCACAUCGCGCCAGUUAAGGAACUUGCUUCUUUUUUACAUUAGCUUUGGCAUGAAAAGUUUCAUUUAGAUCUUAUUUAUUUUUCACCGUCAAUCUUCUGUAAAGUGCUUGUGUUCCAUUCAGUGCAUGCAGCCCUUUUUUUUUUAAUGUGUAUUUUAAUGAAACAUAUAUUUUCUAUUCUCUUUUCCUUUUUUCCGCUGUAGUUCAUCUUAACCUAAUUAGAGAUCUCACAGUAUUUAAUUCGUCAUGGUCUGAGCUUUUCAAUAGAAUCUUAAGAAAUGGAGGCUCUAAAUUGAUGCAAUACCUAUAGAUAUGAUCCAGUACGAAGAAUGCGCUCUUUAACUCGUAGCAGUGAAGACCAUUGAAAUCUAAGCAUAACUAAGUUGUAAUCUGCAUAAAUUAAAGUCAAAAUAAAGAUAUAUGAAUGCAAUUAGCUGCAUUAGAAUAUAAUCCCAAAAAUAUAAUUUUGAUCGCAAAGCCUAUUCUUAGAAUUUAAGAAUGCUGGGUCUUAGUUCCCAUAAAAAAAAAAAAAAAUGUGGACCGACAUCAUAGUUAAGGAUAAAUUCUGAUGGCCGAUUAAAACUCUUAAAAAUGGUAAAAGCUAUACUUACUCUGCAGUAUAAGCAAAGAUAAAGCAAUGAAAGAAACAUUUUUUCAUUUGACCGUCUUUAAUGCCGUUAAAUAUUGUUUCAAUGAAGUAUCAAUAGCCAGAUAAUGCCUUCUACCAACUCACAACUGAUUCAUGCUAUUCUUACUCGUACCAAUUUUUAGACGCCUUGUUCUUGGAUUUAAUUAUAGAGUGGUAUGUACUUGUGCAUGUAUUUGUAGCUUUGUUGAUAGUAGUUGUACUUACAUUAUCUGAAAAUUCUUCAUCCUAAACUCAGGCAUAUUCAUAGGUGACAUUGGAGUGAGAUUCUUUUCCCUCUAUCUGAUGCUCUGUAGAUGCUGAUAUUUUUAUUUUUAAGCUAGUAAUUUAGUUACUUUCAGCAUCACUUUCUUAAUAUUAAUUAUAUUUCUCUCCUUUUGUUUUUUUUUUUUUUGGGUAGUUGUUCGUAAUCAGCAGAAUGGUUUAGAAACAGGAGACGUUGAAUAUACAAGUGUUGACGACUGACUACAUAACAGAGGUGGGACUUGAAUACAGAAAAUAUUGAAUCGCCUUGUAAUAUACAAUCAUGUCUUUAAUAAGCUCAGCAGAUCCUUCUGCAACUCCCUACGUUGAUUCCAAUUUCUACGCACGUAGAAACAACGGUGAUAGCUCGGGCUUUUCCAUGAAAGCAUUCAAUUCAGAUGAGCAAUUUUUCCAUUAUGGCCCUGACUUUUCUGGGAUUUACAGUCAAAAGUACUUCACUGGUUCUCCCACUGUAGCGAAUGUUAAUCCCCUCGUAUCCUCGCCUUCAAUUGAUGAAUCUCUGUUCCAUCCGAUGGCUAAUACCCAAUCUCCUGCUUAUUUGGAUCAUCCUGAUUCAUCUCUGAGUUCCGAUGUUUCUCAUCAGAGUUCGCAUUCCUUAUCGGAUCAUCAAAUUCUAGAGAACUCCAUAGACUUUCCGGAAGAAGAAAUGAGAAUAAAGCUCUAUGAACUCGAGCAGGUGUUGCUGAAUGAUAAUGAUGAAAUAGAAGAAGAACACUUGGUUAUUGAAGAUGAUUGGUCUGAGCCAAUUAAGAACCUCAUGCUCACAAACUCCCCAAAAGAAUCCUCGUCGGACUCAAGCCUGAGCUGUACGGGAGAAGCACGGACACCGAAGCAGCUCCUUUUCGACUGUGCAGCUGCUAUAGCAGAAAACAGAAUAGAAGAAGCGGAAAUCAUUAUAACGGAGCUUAGGCAAGCGGUCUCAAUACAAGGGGAGCCACAUCAAAGGCUUGCGGCUUAUUUGGUAGAAGCCCUUGCAGCGAGGAUAGCGUCUUCAGGACGAGGCAUUUACAAAGCACUUAAAUGCAAAGAACCUCAGGGCAAUGAUCGACUUGCGGCAAUGCAGGUUCUAUUCGAGGUGUGCCCAUGCUUUAAAUUUGGUUUCAUGGCGGCGAAUCACGCAAUCCUUGAAGCGAUUAAAGAUGAGGACAGGCUUCACAUCAUAGACUUUGAUAUUAACCAAGCAAGCCAGUACAUAACAUUGAUACAAAUGAUGCAAUCUCUCAUGGCUCAAAGGAAAAAGCCUUUUCGCAUGAGGAUAACUGGAGUGGACGAUUCCGAAUCGGUGCGGAGGGCGAUCGGAGGGCUGGGAAUUGUUGGUAAGCGGCUUGAGAAGUUAGCGGAGGAUUGUGGGGUUUUGUUUGAGUUUCGGGCAGUGGCAGCUAAGAUUGGGGACGUGACGCCUGAAAUGUUGGAUUGCCGGCGUGGCGAGGCCGUGGUCGUGAAUUUUGCCUUUCAGCUUCAUCACAUGCCGGAUGAGAGCGUGUCAACGGUGAAUGAGAGGGACCGGCUUCUGCGAAUGGUGAAGGGCCUCAGACCAAAACUUGUGACCAUGGUCGAGCAGGAUGCAAACACAAAUACUGCGCCAUUUUUACCAAGGUUUUGCUCUUUUACAGAAGCUUGUUCCAUUCUUUGGGUGAAUUACAUUUGUUCCACCCCAACUUUAUGCGAUUAUAGAUCAAUAUAUUGAAGUAUAAAGCAAAGAUGUUUUCAAAAAAAAAUGAUAUUGGUGAAUGACAGGUUUGCGGAGGUUUACAAUUAUUAUUCAGCCGUCUUCAACUCACUUGAUGCAACCCUUCCAAGGGAGAGCGCCGAUAGGAUAAAUGUGGAGAAGCAGUGCCUUGCGCGUGAGAUUGUGAACAUUGUGGCGUGCGAAGGCACUGAUCGUAUAGAGAGGUAAUUCUAGAUAGAUUGUUUACUAUUUCCCUUCUCCAAAAAGUCAAUUUUGAUAAAUCAUAUGACUCUUUUCUUUCGAAAGAUAUGAAGCUGCUGGAAAGUGGAGGGCGAGGAUGACGAUGGCGGGCUUUGUUUCAUGCCCAUUCAGUUCAAAUACUAGUGGAGCUAUAAGAGCACUAGGAAAGUCGUACUACGACUAUUUUGCGGUUAAGGAGGAGAACGGCGCGCUUUACUUCGGUUGGGAGGACAAGAUUCUGGUCAUGGCUUCAGCAUGGAAAUGAACCGGUAGAGUUGUCUCUAGUGUUGUGUAAAUGUGGAUUGAAAUUCUAAAUUUAAGUUGUACCUAAUUACUAACCCAAAUUUGACUUGGGUGUCCUGUUGAUUAAGAUCCUGAGUUUAUUGUACUAAUCAUAAUAAUAUCUUGUUGUAUAAGUUAAUGCUUAGGUAAUUCCGCGACGAAAUCGUGUUGAUCUAGUCUUCUUGAAAUGCUUUGUUUGACUAAUUCUUUACUUUUCACCUUGGUUGAUGUUACUAUUAUCGAAUUAUACUGGAAACUUAGUUGAUUAAGUUGCGUAAUUAGACACGUCUAAUUCGUUUGUUGGUCAGUUUAAGAACCUUGGUAUGUCCAUAAACUAUUUGAUGACAUUUAUAAUAAGAUUGAAGAGGUUCCCUUAUUAUUUGCGUCAUCUUAUUGUCUAUUUAAUGUAAAAUUUUGAAAUUGCAAGAAUAUUCUUCUUUCUUGCAGCUUCUACUCAUCUAAAUUUUCAUGCAUCAUGCGUCUCAUUCAGGUAUUACAUAUUUCCUGCAGCAGUCCAUACCAUUUUGUUGAUUGGCUGUCUGCUGGUGAUAAAAAUACCUAAAUUUUUCGCUUCUGUCAGACAAGAAAAAAAAUUGCCAGGCACUGGAAAAAAAGAUGAUGGUACUUUCAUCAGCUUUACUGAUAAUUUUAAGAAAAAAAUGUAUGAAAUUUAUCUGAACUUUAGACUAUUUGGAUUCAAGUAUCUGAACUUUCAAAAUUUUAAUUUUUAUUACCUAGCCUUUCGACUUGUUUGAUUUACAUUUUUUAACUGCUCUUUCGGCACACAAUUUAAGCCAAUUUCUUCUUACUUUAUAUUAUAUAAAAUAUAUUAGUUUAAUUUGUAAAGAUAAACGACGUAUUCAAAUUUGAAAAUUAAAGUGUCAUUAACCGGCUCAAAUUAAAUAAAUUAAAAGGUUAGGUAGCAAAAUUAAAAUUUUUAAAAAUUAGAUAGUCAAAUCAAAAAGGAUGAUAGAGGACGUAAGUUAAUGUACAUUUUCACCUGAUUUUGAAUCUAUCUUUUACCCCAUCUGAUUUUUUCUUCAAGUUGGACUUUUUUUUUUUCAGCUGAGGCUGACCUUUCUACUACAUGAAAGAGCAGGCUGGGUUUACUGACAAGUGUCUUCAGUCAAGUUGGAAACUCUUAUUACUGGUGAAUUUUGUUACUCAGAAACCAUAAACUUGACCCCUUUAGUUCUAGAACUACUGUAGUUUCUCAUUUCUGAGAUUAAAGAUCCUCAAAUUGUUAUGUUCUUUUAUCAAGUGAUUGCAAAGAUUUCGACCAAUCCGAUUAAGUCUUAAUUCUUCGACAUCAUUAGUGCAAAAGUUCGAAAUACUCUGACAUAUUUCGAUCGGAUGAUUAUAUCAUAUAUCAGUGUGCUCUUUGUUUUCGAAAGUAAUCUCAUCCUAUGAAGGGUUAUUUCAGUCUAAACUUGUAUUUUUUAUUUGACUAAUCUUUUUAAUUUCUUCACCUAAAGCUCUAUACUUUUUAAUAAAUAAAUAAUAGUUAAAAUUAGAAAAUUUACCUGAACUACGGACCAUUUUGAUUUGUUUACUUAACGUUUCAAAAUUUUUGAUUUUAUUAUCCAACCUUUUAAUUUAUUUGAUUUAAAUUAGUCAACGACAAUUUAACUUAAAAAAUUUAAGUUAAUUAUUUAUUUUAAUAAAUUUAUAGUUAUGAAAAUUGCAUGAAAUAUACUAAUAAAAUGUGUAAAAAUUAACGAAGCAUUCAACUGUGGAAAUAUGGGAACCAAAAAAGAGCACAGUUUGUAGGGAGCUUAUCUAAAUCAGAUUAAACAUUUGAAUUGUAUGAUGAAUGCUAAGGCAAUAGAAAUCUACAGAGAGAGUAGUGAGGAAGAUGAGCACUUUGGCUUAAUAUGUCAAAUAAAAAGCCAACAGAGAACAAGAUAUCAAACAAACUAGGCAACUUGUCAAAUACACUCCCCAGUAAAUUUCUUACUCUUUAGAACAGGGCACUUAUGUAGUUCUUGGAAUCGGCUACGCGGUGCGUAGGCGAAAUUCCAAGGAGAUAAAAGAGGAAGAAUGCAUGAGACCAUAAACAUAAGAGGAGAGGAAAAUUUCAUAGUUAUAGUAGGACUCUUAGUCCAAAUACAAAGAGGACUUAAAUAAGAUUAGCACACAAGAUUAAAAAAAAAAAAAAAAAAAAAAAAUGCCAAAACAAAUUUCCUACUAGUAUAAUCAAAUGAUUCAUUCAAUGUACAGAAGCACUUGAAUGACUAUUCAUUGUUCUUCUAUUUAGUAUAAAGAAAACAUUCUGGCUUUCUUACACAAGAAAAUUGGGAAAAGUUACACCAAAUAAUCUGUCGAAACUGAAGAUCUAACAGAAGAAUGCCUCUAACUUCCAACAUUUUACUGCAUCCCAAGAAUCCCCAAACAAUUUGUUCUUAAGUUAACUCGCUUUUAUGAGGAAAGAGAGAUGGAUUCCAAAAUUGCUAAUUUACAACAAGUUGAUGGUCAACCAGCAGGACUAUGCGUAGGAGUUUUCUUCGGUGGGGCAUGCGGAAAAACAAGCAGCCCAAAAGAAAGAUCAUGCUACCAAACCGACAUGAAUAAUCACCCCGAAACCUCCGGAUUAUAACUACCUCACAAUUUUAGCAUGGCCGGUUGGUCCGAUCAUAAAAGGGAUAACUAUUCCGCCUUGUGACUUUAAUCUCCUGGAAUUGCCCAGAUUAACUAUUUUGCUGCGCAAGAAUGUGUUUUGAAGAAAUCAGGAUUGAGUUCUUUCGUGCAUUUUGGCCUUCGCGAAGAACACACCAGCUAAUAGACCUGUGAGAUGAAAAAUAAGGAAUGACUUUUUAAACGUGUCUUGCAGUUAAUGAAAAGAAAUAUCUUUUUCGACUGGGAGAAGAACGUACCGAAAAGGAUGCUCAUCGAAUUCUCCAUACUAGUUGGGACUUUAAAGAGAAAGAUUCCAGCAAUGGAGAGAGGAAUCUUGUUUAGUGACCCCAUAAGGCUGCAGAAGAAAUCAAUUGGAACUUCGAUAUCACCCAGUUAUUAAACUUAUUAUGAAGAGCAAUGAAAAAAAAAGGAGGUAGCAGAGAAUAACUAGCAAGCCGGAAAUAUUUCUUUUAUAAGCAAAUGACUCGGUUUGAGUUUACAGACGGGCAGUAACAUGGUCAAUUUAUGGGAAACGAAUCAGAGAACACAAUGUAACAAACAUCAGAGACAUUGGAGGGCAAACAGAGGCAAAGAAUAUGAUUGCAAAAUAUUGUGAAGUUUAGUUUGAGUGAAAAAUUUAGGGACUAAGUCACAACAUCACGAAAAACAGGGACUAAUCAUAUAUGUAACUAUUCUAAAUGAGCAAGCAAUAUAAUCUAGCAUCUUGGAGGAACCAAGUGACUGCUGAAGAGUUGGAAGUCAAGUUCACAUAUCAAAACAAAGAGUUUUUUAGUCUACCUGUAUGUAGUAGCACCCGUCUGGUGAAGAAACCACAUAGAAGUAAAACUAAUUGCGAGUCCCAAAAACCCGCUGAAAGUGAUAACCAACCAGAACAUGGGCAUCUUCAAAAGAGGCCUGUGAAUACACUUGACACAUACAUAAGCCCAAUAAGACAGUAAAAAUAAGUCUCGGUAAAUUAUGGAAUCAUCUUCCUGCAAUUACGUGCCACUACCCAAGGAUCAUAACAACUAGAUAACCACUACUGAUAUGUUCUUAAUGCAUAAGUUCCAUUUUCAAGUUGUUCAGGAUGAUUUUUGCUGUCCAAUUAUGAAAAGUUUCAUCAUUGACAUCGGUUUGAGGUUAUACCUUUUUUAGCAGAUGCUAAUAUUGCUGCUAAAAACGAUGUCAAAAGCACUAGAAUACUAAUUUGAACAAGGAACUUACGUUUUUGAGAGGUAUUCCACUUCAUUGAAAGCAAGAACAAGAAUGAGUCCCAAAGGAAGUGAAAGAGUGUUAUUGAGCAAAACCAUCGAAAACUCGUUCAGGUUACCAGACUUGGUAACUUGCUUAGCAGUAUCCAUUACUCUCCUCAAUGUGAGCUGAAAAUAGCAUUAGUCAUUGGUAAGCUAAAAUAGGUGGCAGAUGAUUUUAAGUAGCACUUGGUAAGCAAACUAUUAUGACACUGCUGGCAAGAACAGUAUUGUCUAGUGUAGACAUAUUUUAGAAAUGCCCAUGAACAAUGAAUGCAUUUUUUUUUCUGUCUAAUAAGGGGGAAAAAAUGUAUUACCGAGUAGGAUGCUGUUAGAAAACAAUUUACAAUCUGCCAUGCAUAGCCAACUCCAUUGAACGAGAGAUCGGUAAUGCCUCCUGAAAUUGCUGAUAUUAUCUGCACAGGUAUGAAAUUUGUAAAAUCAGAUGGCAGAGUUAAAAUUUGCAACAAAGGCAAAGCUAAACUCAGUUCUUUCCUCGAGAAUAAGAAUCUUGAUUUGAACAAAGUGCACUAGAAUAUCAAAGAGCAUAAAAUAUCAUGGAUGCUGACUAAAUGUCGAAUGAUGGAAAGGAACAUCCUUAAAAUUUAGAGUACGAUGUUAAAUAAUUGAUUAUCCUUCACAUCACAAGUUUAAAUUUCAUCCACAGUUGCAAAAAAGAACUUGCUCAUCCAACAUCUAUUUAACUAGCAAUGUACCCGCGCUUUGCCCCAGGUGCGAUGGCCUUGUUUUUAAUUAUAUUUAUAAAAUAUAGUAUAUAUUUUUAUUAAAUAUAUAUAUUAAAUACAUAUUUGUAUCAACAUCUGAUUUCAAAACAUAAAAUUUUGUUACAGAUUUUGUCUUUAGGUAUUUGAUAGUUUAAAUUUAUAUUUUUGAGGUUCCGUAAACUUUCAAAAUUUUCUGAAGCAAAAAGGAAAAGUUUGUAAUAUGCUUAUUUUUACGCCAGGUUGUCUAAAAAAAUAUAUAUCCUCUUUUUGUGUUUUUUUAAACUUUUAUUCUUCUAACUCUAUUCAGAUCAUUUUUGUUGACCCAUUCAAGCAAUAUGAAGAAUUGAAAAUUUAUGAUAAAAUAAAAAGUAGUUACUUGAUUCGUAGGUUUUUAAUUAAUUGACUUUAUAAUUUUUUUGAAUUUAUGAACAUGUAUUUAAUUUUGUAAGAAGUUUCUAAAUUUAGCACAAUUAAGUACCAAAAUAGUUUGUUCUAAAAUUUGGACUUACAAUAGAUAAAUGACAAAAAAUGGAGGAGUAUUCUAAUUGGUUUAAUAGUUGGUAGGCAAUGAAUUAAAGCAAUUUAGAAAAAUAGCUCAAAAUCCUAUAUAGUUUAGGAUUUAAAAUUUUAAAUUUUAAAGUUGAAAAUUUGGGAAUAAAUUAAAAUUUCGAGAUCCAAAAUUUGGAAUUUUAUAAUAUAAAACUUUAAAACCCUAUCUAUAUAUAUAGGUAGGGAGUGAGAGGAGGGGAGGGUUUUGGGGGACGUGUUAUCUCCCAAACCCUCCUUUAAUGUAGAAGAAAGAAUAGAUAGAAAUAGAUCAGAUGCACCGAAGAUUUUCCCAUACACUAUACAUAUGUCCACAAUCAAUGGUCUACGGUGCACCGGGUGUACUGAGUAGUUGAGCCGGACACGUCAAAAAAAGAAGAAUACCCCACGCACUUUAGUAUAUAGUAAUAGAUUGCUCAACAAGAAGAGAACUUCAGGAAUAUGUAAAAGCAUAAGGUGAGUUAAGAAGUGUCUCAUGGCUUUCAUUUGAUCACUGCACAUAUGCUGUAAUCUAUAUGAGUACUACACAAGCCACAGUAAUUGGUCAAAAUGUUGGAUAAGUUAGAUUGAGCAUGUUGAGAUAGAUGAAUCAUCAAUAUGACAACAAGGAUAGAACAUAUAUAUACCUAAGGUACAGAAAACACGUAUAUACUUAUCUACCUGCUGUGACAAUAAUAGCAUAAAUAUUGAAUCCUCUUUGGCUCGUCUUGAACAUUUACAGAAGCAUUGUUCAAAAGGGACUGUCAGAGAAGCCCGCCAACUAUUUUAUAGUAAGCUUCAUCCCAAAUUAAAGCAGAAGCUUCAAAUCAGAACUACUAUUUUGACAGUACAGAAACCAUUAUAGCUUCCUAGUCCAGAAAGAAGAUCUAAACUGUUUGUUUGCCAAUGCUUGCUUUUUUCCUUCUCUGGUUUCAGAAGCAUGAAAGAAAAGCCAGACCAAGUAGGCGCUACUUAUAAUGUUAUUUGUCAGCAUGGGUUUAGUUUACAACACAUUUGAAGUCAAUGGGAAUUUCAUAGAAAGCUGACAAGGGAUUCCAGUGAUAACCGGCCAUUUUGAUUCCUUGGAAAAACUCAAUGAAUCUAACCCAAUGGGGCAACAACAACAUAAUGAACAUGGGAAAUUUUGGAACAACUUGAAGAAUAAAGAUUUCGUAUCAGCAAAGGAAAUGUUAGGUGCUUGUAACAAUGGUUACUUUGCUCGCAGUAAUUGAAGAGAUCUCUUAGUUGCUUAAGUGGCUCCUAUCUUGAAUCUUUUCCCAAAAUCACGGAUGCAAAUGGGCCAAUUAUAUGCAAAUAUUCACCAAGGGCACACACGUUCCAAUAACCUGGCACUACUAAUACUGGUAGCAGGACAGCGUGCCCAUCCAUCUUAAAUUCAAAAUAUAGCUUCAUCAACACUAUAGAGUAUAGACACACCCAUCAAACUAUCUUAAGUUAGCAAAUUUCUCCCUCAUAGUUAAUAUAUGGAUAAGAAAACGGUUAACAGAUUCAGUGGAAUAAAAUAAAUCCACUUCUGCUUAUGUUCAGUUCUGUGGAAUGACAAGUACCAUUAGAAUCAAAGCGGCCCAGACUUUGCCGUCAUGAUGCUUCUUAAAGAGGUAUGUUUCACCGGAAGCAGUAAUAACAUUGGUAACAUUCUUCAAAACAGUCACCAUGGCCACAUUGAUGUACUUCAAACUGCACAUAGCAUGGAUAUUAAAUGCAAGAAGCAAAGAAAUAUAAUUCUUGAUUCUAGAGAAUUGCAUGUGCAUAAAGUGAUAUAUACUAUAUCAGUGAGAGAGAGAGAGAGAGAGAGAGAGCGAAGAAACAGAUGAUUUUAGUCGCACAUGAAAUAACUUAAAAUUCAAUAGGCUGAUAACAGAAAAUCAUCUAUUAUGUCAAGAAAUGAUAAGAUUCAAUAAAGGAACCUUAACACUUGUUGUAUUACAACUUAGUGAAAAGAGAAAUUGUUCAUAAAUAGAAGUGAAAAUGGUAAACAUAGAGAACUAAUCUUUUUUUUUUUUGUAAUUUGUAUAGAACUCACCUGGAUUAUAGCCUAGUUUGAAACAUAGACCUUAACUUUAGAUAUUUUGGUUCUGCUGACCUACUACCAAACUUUUUACAGGACGUUUUAAUUUAAUUACCUCCUCAUCAUAACUUAAUUGCUUUUCUUUAACAAUUGAAGAAAAUAUUUUCUCACCUAAUGAAAUAUUCUAUUACUUGACAAAAAAUUCUAUACUCCUCUGAAUGGAAAGAAUUUAAGAUCUAACAGAACUUGAUGGAGUUUUCUUAAAUCAAAAGCAGUGAAAGGCUAGGUAGUAAAUCAAAAUUUUCAGAGUAGAGAUAGCCCUUUACAAAUGCGUUGUAAUUCAAGUAAUGUCUAUACACUUUUAUCUACGAGAAAGAAACAAAAGGAUAACAUAACCAACAGGAAAUAUUUAAUGUUUGAGGUAUUACCAUCUGCAAAAAUUGGAACCAUAAGACCCUAGAAUAGCUAAAAAUCAAAUCCUAGGUUCUCAUAAUCAUGAACGAAAAUCUCCAUUAGGCAGAAAUUAUUACUAGAUAACUUGUUUGGACAUCCAGACAAUCUUAAUCUGCUGUUCUCAACAAUGUCCUUAAAAGUAUGCAACAUAUACUUGAAUGUGGAUGAUAGGAACAGCAGAUUAAGAUUGAAAAUCUAGAACAUAAGUUCUAAUGAUUCAGAGGGCUCAAAUUUUACUUUCUCAAUAACAGACAAUCUUCAUGAAAAUAAGUAUAGCGCAUUCUUUCAUAAAAUUCUAUUGAGGAACCCAUCAAGUUAGAUGACAAAGAUAAUGUCCACUCGGGUAAAAACUUUCUCCUGAAUCAUUAAAUAUAAAUAGCAACAGUAGAACCUACUGGGCAUUGUAAUAGCCGUCGCAGUCUACACAUAUUCUAUAUAUAUAUAUAUAUAUAUAUCCAGUUGCCAAAAGCGAAAUAAACAUACCUAAACAUGCUUGUAAUGAGCAUUCCAACAAAUAUAGCAUUUACUGGCAACCAAUCUUUAUUAGUUUCCAUGUAAAUGUUCUGUCGAGAUAACCCAGAAAUACUCAAAACGGAGACUAUGGUCACUGAUACAAAAUUCUGCAACAACAAAAAUCACAGUCAAUGUCAUAACAUUUGUGUCCCUGAAAAAUUAUUUAUUUACAUUUAUACCCUGUAAAACCUGAAUUUCCCAAUAUAUAUAUUAUAAUAUAUAUAUAUAUAUAUAUAUAUAUAAUAUAGAGUGGGCUGGUAUGCUUAUGGAAGCACGGAGCCUCCGUGCUUCGAAGUUGUUUUGAUGUUCGGUACUUCAAAUCGACGAUCGUCCGUUAGACUUGAUCUAGAGUAUUUGAAGUAUCUAGAAAAUAAAUUUGUGAUUUUCGAUAUCAUUUGCCUAGUGAUCAAAGGGCUCAAAAUCAAUAAUUUAAACGGCCUGGUGAGCCGGUUGCAAGUUUAACGGUGUAGAAAUAUCCAAAUCACAUAAAAUUUUGAUAGAAAAUUCUUUAUACCAUAUAAAACAAGAUCAAUAACUUUGAUCUAAAAUUUUAAUGUCAUAUCAUCAUAUUUUGUAAGAUUUUUAUUUUCAGCCGUUGAUUUUGAGCCACUUCGAUCACUAGGCAAAUAAUAUUGAAAAAUCGCAAAAAUUAUUUUCUAGAUACUUCAAAUACUCUAGAUCAAGUCUAACGGAGCCGAUCGUCGAUUCGAAAGUCUAAACAUCGAAAACAAAGUGAAAGCACGGAGCCCUCCGUGCUUCCAUAAGCAUCCUAGCCGCACUCAUAUAUAUAUAUAUAUAGGCUAGGGCUACUAUCCUAUUAAUAGGAUAGUAGCACUUGUCCUAUCAAAUUGUUCUUGAUGAUAGAGAUUCCGAAUCGAUGAUCGGAGCCGUUGAAGUUGAUCUAGAGUAUUUGAAAUAUCUAGAAACUAAAUUUCAUAAAUUUUAAAAAUUAUUUACAUGGUGAUCAAAGUGUCGUAAAAUCGACAAUUUUUGACAGCCUAUAUGAGCCAUUUGCUUGUUUAACAGUGUAGAGUAAUCCAAAUUGCUUGAAUUUUUGAUAGAAAAUUCUUUAUAAUAUUUAGAUAAUGUUUGAUAACUCUGAUUAUAAAUUGAGAAAGUCAAACCUCUAUUUUAAGAAGGUUAUUCAUUUAAGACCGUUCAUUUUUCAAUUCUUAAGAUGAGCUUGAUAAUGAUUUUUAAAUAUUACAAAAUUUGGUUUCUAAACAUUUCUAAUUGUGUAGAUCAAUUUCAACGGUGCCGAUUAUCAAUUUGAAGUUUCGAUCAUUCAAAUCGACUUGAUAGGACAAUGUCCUCAAUCCUAUUAAUAGGAUAGUAGAUGGACUCUAUAUAUAUAUAUAUAUAUAUAUAGAGAGAGAGAGAGAGAGAGAGAGAGAGAGAGUCCGGCUACUAUACUCUUAUGACAAGGAUUUAAGUGCCCGUCGGCACAUGCCGUAUCUACCGUACCAUAUCGUGUCAACAAAAUAUCGGCACGAUACAGCACCCAUACCGAUGGCACAGCUCAAAACCCUCUAUUCUUUAAAUUAGUUAGUAAUUUUUCUCAAUAAAAUUCAAAAGGUUUGAUAAAAAUACAUAAUAAACAGUUAGAAUACUUUGUUAUUAAAGAAAAUAAAUAUUUCAUGCUAUUAUAUAUCGGCACACAUGAAUUUUUUGUGACCCGCAUGCAUCGGCACGGCCCGACACUAUGUCGUACCGUGCCGGCAAGUUUCUGGCACGACCCCGUGCCACGACACUUAAAUCCUUAUCUUAUGAGUACGAUAGUCUUCGUGCUUAUAAGUCGUUUUGGAUGAUAGAACUUCCGAAUCAACGAUCUAUACCAUUAAACAUGAUUUAGAGAUUUUAAAAAUUAAAUUUCAUAAUUUUUCGACAUCAUUUACCUUAUGAUCAAAAGAUCUCAAAAUUGAAGGUUCCCGACCAUCUCAAAAGAUCUCUAUUCACUUUUAGAUAAAGAUCAAUAACUUCGAUCUUAAAUUGAAGGUUCCUACUAUCCAAUUUUAGGAUGUUGUUCAAUUUUGAUCGUUCAUUUUAUACCCAACUGAUGGACUUUAUUUUAAUUUUGAAAAAUUAUGAAAUUCAUUUUCUAUAAGUUUCAAAUGCUCUAGAUCAUAUUUAAUAGCGUGGAUCAUCGAUUUGGACGCUCCAUCAUUGAAAACAACUUAUGAGUACAAAGAGCACUAUACUAAUAAGAGUAUAGUAGCGCUCUCUCUCUCUCUCUCUCUCUCUCUCUCUCUCUCUCUCUCUCUUUAUAUAUAUAUAUGUAUAUAUAUAUGAAUUAGGCUACUAUACUAUUGAUAGCACCAAGUCAUUGGUGCUAUUAGGUUUUCGGCCUUGGAUGAAAAGAUGUGCAGUAAGGAUGAUGGUGGUCCCCUGGGGUUGAGUGGGUGAUUGAUUGAAUAGUAUGAUCUAACUGAUAGAAAUGAUUAAAGAGUUAGAUCUAACGCGGAAAACUUGAUAGCACCAAGCGCUUGGUACUAUCGAUAGUAUAGUAGCCGGACUAUAUAUAUAUCCAUCAAUAGUGCAGUUCUUUUCCCUUGUCUUAAGAUGGCAGAGUCAUCCAUCCAAUUCAUUGUUUUGUUUAGAAAAAAUUUCUGAAUGAGAGUGAUUAUUUAAGGACAAGGGUAUGUUGUUUGAAGAUAAAUUUGGAAAUGGAUAUAUGAAAAUUCAGAUUCUGCAGGGGUUUAAAUGUACAAUGAUAAUUUCUCAGGGGCAUAUGUAGGUAUCAUACGGUAGUAACUUUACCUGGUAUAGCAUCAAAAAUAUUCCAGCAUUAAAAUCGUAGCCAGAUAGAACAAAUUUGUUAACUAGUAUCAUGCUGCAUGAAGAUAUGCAGUAUGCGAGGCCAGAUAAAAGAGCCUGGUUAUAUAUCUUAGGAGUCCGAUGGUAGCGAAAACUCUUAUCUCUAUCUUUUGAUGAUUUACAAUCUUCCAAGUCGAUUUCAUCAUCACAAAGGGACUUCAUUCCAGCACAUGACCUGUAAGAUUCAAAGUAGUAGUUUCAAAAGCAAAAUAGAUUCCUUUAUCAAAUACAAAAUUAGAAAUCAAAUUGAGAAAAGGUAAAAAACAAAGAAGAAAAGAGUACUACAAAUCAAAAACAUGACCCAGGUAAGGAAAAUGUAAACACCCUUUACAAUUUACAUCAAAUUGCUUCUCAUUUCAGUUAUUAAAAAGAAAAAGAAAAAGGGUGCUUUGUAUCUGUUCUGCACAAUAUGAACUUUUAUAACAAAAUUGAACCAGCAAGAUUUCAUGCUAUAAAUAUUAUGUGAAGAUCCAAGGAUAACGAUACAAAAGCGAAAGGAUCAUGAGAAACGAAAAGGAGGGUAGCAUAUGGAUUACAACAAUAACUUUCUCUUUCCAAAAUAAUCAUAGACAAUGAUACAUAACAUUAACUGAUUAGCAAUUGCAUUAACUUCUUGUGUUUAUAAAGAAAUCACUAGAGGAAGAAAGAAUAAAACAAAAAAAACAAAAAAAAAAAAAACAUUUUAACAAACAUACCAACAUAAGAAGAUAAAGAUUCAAGAUAGUGGAAGCAAGAUAGGGCAUGUAGCACUUUUUUCUUUCACAUUUUAUUUAAACAUCUUUGAUCCCAUCACUUAAUUUUGUUGAUAUAAUCAUAAAACUAAUCAUUUUCAUCUAGUCUUUCUAUUCCUAAAUUUGAAUUGUGUUCACUGUUAGCAAUCAAAACAAACAUAAUAUUCACUGUGUUUAUUUGAUCCCUUGCUCUCUGAUAGAACGGCAUUCAAGAAGUGAAGUAAAUAGAUAUAUAAAUAAAUAAAUAAAUAAAAAGGUUGCAAUUGGAAUUGAAUAUUAUAAAUCUCAUAAAAUAUUACUGAGAAGCAUAGUGUGGAACAAAGAAUACCUCAACUUGAGAAAUAAAGUGAAGAAUGCAUACCUGCUAACAAUUUCCCUCCUUAUAGGAUUUGCUACUGCAGCUACUGCACCGUUCUGCUCUCGGCUCAGUAAAGCACUUUUCUCACCAUUCAGUGGUGGACUAUUCAUAUCCUCCAGCACAUGUCGUUCAGAUAGUGCCUCGGGUGAAUCGACAGGAAUACCUAAAGGAAUAACCCUUGAAGAUAAAAGGAGAAACUUUAGGAUGUGAACAUAACACAAUGUGGAAAUUCAAAGUAUGAAAAAGAUUUAAAACUGAUAGGAAGGAACACACACAGAGAAUUCCGAUGCCAAUCAACUUUUAGACAUUAAGUUAAUUUGAUUCACAGCAAAUUUAAUUCACUAGUACAUAAGAUACUUUAUGCAAGACUGUCAGGAGGCACAAACAACAUUAACAGUUAAACAAAAACCGUACAAAAAAAAAAAGCCUAGAUACUGUAGAUUUCAUCUAGUGGAUAAACGAAAAUAGUAAGACCAACACGGCCUUGUGCCUUGAUUAAGCCCAAUAAAUUGAGAUCAUCUACAUGAAUCCUAAUUCACAAUUCAACAAUAUUUUAGGUAGUGUCUUACAUCAUGUUGAUGGGCAUUAAAUCUUAUUGUUACUUUCAGUAGGGCCUUUCUAUUCCUCUGCUUGUUGAGUUUUCUUAACUUCAUAGAGUUCGCUAUUAUUUGUGCACUGUCAAUUUCUUAACUUAAUAAAGUCAACUUAUUUGAGCAUUGUGUAAUAAGAGGGAUUAUUUUUCUCCAUUUUAACAACAGGUAAAAUUCCUAUUACCAUUUGCUUAUGAACGUUACUCCAUCUAAAAAUUUAUCUUCGUGGCAGGACUAUAUGAAAGUCCUGUGUGCAACUUUCCUACACUUAAAUCAUAAGCAACUUAACAAAAAUGCCUCUUCAAAUGCAACGACAAUAGAAAGCAUCAGAAAAACUCCACAUGGGUAGUCAUGUUUGACUACAUUAAUAGCCCCUCGAACUCUCCUUCCAUAAGAAAAAUAUAACUAUUAAAUCAACUUUUCAUUCCCUUAAAGGUUCAAGAAUAAGAGAAACUACUAUCAUCGCAAAAACAACGAGUUCUCUACUUCCGUAGUCCCCAUAAUUUGGCCUCAAUCAUACGACUAAAGCCAAGCUUACUCACAAAUUCAUCGUUGGAAUUAAUAAAUAUCUCAGCUUGAACAGUGAUAGGCCUAACCAAGCUUAGUACAUUUAGACCCCUACCUAGAUCAAUCUUAUUGAUCAUAAACCAAAGAGUCAGAAGCCCAAGCAAUAAUUCAACAACUUGUAGUCUAUCUCAGAAUGAGCAAUGCCAAGAAAAAUGACUAACUUAAAACAUUCUCAUAUAUUUAUUUAAUUUGUCAUAUCUAUCAGUUCAUGCUCGAUUGAGACUUUUAUAUUUGAGAUUCCUAGAGUCUAUUCCUUAUUAGCAAGAUGAGCAAAAGAUUGGUGGCUGUGGGCCUAUCUAACCAACCCUAGAUCACAUAACCUGUAAUCUUUUCGCUUUAUAUUUCUUUUAGAAGAGUAAAUCGAAAUUUUCAGUGAUCCAUAUCAACAGACUUAGCCAGAAGAAUCCUAACAUCUUUUCAUUUACACCGAAUCUCUGAUGCCUUCCCAUGUUGAGUUCCUUUCUUUUACUCAAGUACCUCUAGGUUAAACACAGCGAGUCAAAGCAAUUAGUAUGUAGUAUAGCUAAUUUGGCUUUUCAAUAUCCGUGGAGGGGAAUAAGAGCUAAGAAUUAAGCAAUAAGAAUAAAGAUCCCACUAUUAUCCCCUUUUAACAAGCAAAAAUUCCUUCAAUUUGGGCCUAAUCAACACCUACUAGUAAAAUCCUCUAGAAUCAAUGAAGAAUCCCAAUCCCCCCAAAGCCCAACCUUUUAUAGCCUUAAAGAUUACAACAAGAGGAUAACAAUAACCAAAAAAGCUUCUUUGCUCACAAAUUAAAACGAAAAACACCAUGAAAUAACAAAGAGGACCCAGAUGCAAUCCCAUCACCUCGAUCUAAAAUCGUAAAAUCUCAAAUACCCACUUCUUAUUUUUACCUAAUAACCCUAGAAUCUAGAUCAAAUCGCUUCUUUCUAAAGCAAUAACAAUCGAAAGGGUUGAUCGGAAGCUUUACCUAGCACCCAUCGCCUCCCCAAAAUUUGACCAGGGAAACCUCCACCUUGCCCCCAACUCAGGAUUCGAGGACUACAAAGAGAGAGAGAGAGAGAGAGAGAGAGAGAGAGAGAGAGUUGUGUGUGUGUGUGUGUGUGUGUGUGUGUGUGUGAGAGAGAGAGAGAGAGAGAGAGAGAGAGAGAGAGAGAGAGUGAGGUGGGGGGUGGAGGUGGAGGGUUCAAGGAAUCGAGGAGGGGGAGGAUCCUCUGUGGAGCUCUUUGAAAGGGGAGAGACGAGGGGGUAUUUAAACGGUCCACGCAACGGGGGUAAGAUCCAAAAAAUUAAAAAGCAAAAAAAAAAAUAAUAAUAAAAGGGGGCAAAAAAAAAAAAGAAGGAAAUUUCUGUUUUUAGGUGAAAACUGCAUGUGGUGCCCCCUCCACUAUGAGGUUUCUCAAAUAGGUCCCUAAACUUUUUUUUUUUUUUNAGUUGUUGAUUGAUAGUUUAGUUGUUGCUGCACUUGAUUUUUUAUCAUUUUCUUGCGAAAUUUAUUUAAUAAUGAUUCGGUGAAACUUAAUAUUUUUUUAGCUGAUAAAAUUUUUGGUUUUAAUUAGUCCGAUGAAUAUCCAACAAUAGGUUCCAAUGAACGAAUUAAUAAAAAUUUAAAAGUUGAGAAGAUAUCGAUGAAAACAAGUUAUCUAAGAAAUAUAUAUACUAUGCGUUUUAGCAAAUUAAGGUGCCUUCCAUGAAUAGUUGACGAGUCUAGCUAUAAUCUCUCGUUGAUACGUUGGUACCAACGUAGUUUAUUUUAUGUUUUGCACAGCAGGUGCAAACCAAUCAAAUUUUUUUUUUUUAUUAUGUAAUAUUAAUAUAUUAAUGGUUUAUAAAAAUAGUGUCAAGACUCGGACCACCUCUAAGUAUAUAUGAGUCGCGACCGUCGCACCUCUAUACGAUUCAAAUCUGAAUUCUUUAAUUUGAAUAUAAGACUUUGGAUCGAUAUUAAUUAUAAUGGCGCAAGUAAAUCUCGAAUCAUUCAUGCGACUAAAAUUUAGCCGUCAAUGCGCGCGAUACAUAUGACUACAACUAGAGCGUGCUCUAUUUGAAACUGUGUUGUCAACUACAUAGCUAGUCUCCUCUUGGAUCCACCAUCCCAUACGUACCUAUCUACAAGGCAAAUGGGCACGUUCCUAGUGAUUAGAUAAUGAUUUUACGAAGUUAGCAACUAGCUAGCAAUGCACAUGUAAUUAAUUACAUGCACCAAAAUACUCAAAGAUAUGCUCUCUCAAUGACUCACUCUAAGUUAUUGUACUUAGAAUGAAGUAGCUUGACACUUCCCGCGCUAUUAAAAUAGUCUAUAUAACCAACUCAAUCAAAUGCAACACUAUCUUAUUUGUAUCACCGACCUCGAGAUAUAUACCAGCGGAUCAUUCAAGAGUAGAUUAUUCAUCCUCAUCGAUGUUGUUUACGCUAUACCCCACACGAUCAAUGUACGCUAAUCUUUCGACAUCUUAUCCGUAACUAGUAAAUUAACCUGCAGGCAUACAAGCAUUAGGAGUCGAAUUGAGCUUGUCACUCUUGGCAAUUUCUUUUUUUUUUCUUUUUGGAGAGAUAUAUAGGUAGCACGCUACCCGCUUCGUUUUAUUUCAUUUAGAAAUAAACUGAGCUGGAAAUGUAAAUCAACUAGAUUCAAACUUGGAACCUCGGGUACCAACGACCAAGCCCUUUACCACUCUUGGUAAUAUUGUUAAGUCUAUUGCCGGCCUACUAAAUUUGUCGUACAUCAACUUGCACAUAUCCUGAUGUAAAUCAUCACUCCACAAAUUAAUCAAGACCUCUUCAGGGUUUUUAAAUCAUACUAGCACUAGUAAAUAGUAAAAAGGAUUAAUUGGUCCCUACGACUCCCACAUAUUGGUAUAACUGGGCAAUCAAAUCUUUGGGCCUUUGCCUAGAACGUAACGCGCGUUCUUAAUACGCUACCUAGUAUAGUAUAGUAGUAUAUGUCAAAUACACAUUCAUAUAUGCCUGCACUGUCCAAGGAAAAAUGCAAUCCGCCAUUUGAAAGAAAAAAAGGUAUGUAAAACACCAUCAAUUUGUAUAGUUAAAGAAAAAAAAAAAAAAAGUUUCGUCACAUCUUUAAAUGGAUCUUAUAAAAUUAUGUGAGUGGUAUAUAUGAUUAAAACAACUGUAAUUAAUUUGAUGGAGGAGCUGAGGGGGUCUAAUUAAUUGUUCUGUGUACUUGCGAAAGAACAAAAGUGUAGGGGGUUUCUGUGCAUCUUUUAUUAACGUUUGUUCUUUUUUAUAUUCUGGGGAUAUAAUUAAUUAAUUAAUUAAUCCGCGCGUACGUGUCGUCGUCGGGUUGGUCGGAUUCCGCCAAAUUGGCUUCGCCGAACAGCAGCGGAGGAGGAAGAAAAAUCUUGGUAGGGGGACGGACCGCAGCUGACGUGGGCUGAGCGUUGACCAGUCGUACUUCUCCCCUGUAAACGUUUUACAGUCAAUUAAUCAUGCAUGCAUUUUUCGGAUUCAGAUUCCUAAGGUAGCGUUUGGUUCGAAAACAAGAUGGGAAUAAGUCUUUAUUCCCCCCUUUGUUUCCAAAUAUAAUGUUUGGUAUUCGAAAACAGUAGUUCUAGAAUUUCAAGAACAAAUUGGUAUCAGGCUGGAACUGUUGUUCCACCAUUUUUCUGGAACAAGCUUGUUACUUGACGAGAACAAGGUUAAUUAAAAUCUAAAUUUAAUUUUAAUGGCAGUAAAUUAUUAAUUAAUCUAAUUAAAAUAUUUUAAUUAUUAUUUAUUGCUUUAAUAAUUAAAUAAUUAAAUAAUUUAUUAUUUAUAAUUAAUUAAUAAUAAUUAGAUAAUUAUUUUAUUAUUUAUUAAUAAUUAUUAUUCUUAAUGAUAAUCAAUAUUAUCAUUAAUUUAUUAUUUCUAAUUAAUUAUUAAUAAUUAUUAUUAUUAAUUAAUNUUACAUAAUAUAAUUUUAAUUUCAAAUUACAACUCUUAUUCCUCUCGUUCCAAUCUAACAAUCUAAACACUAUUUACCUUAUUCCUAGGAAUAACCUAAUUUUUCUACUUAUACCUGAAUAUGUACCUAUCCCUGAAACUAGCAGUUCUUACUUAUACCCGAACGUGAAAUUAAUUGCAAUAAUAAUAAUAAUAUUGUAAAUAGAUAGAAAACAACACUAUUAUUUUUUUACUUGUUAUAUUAUUAUUAUUUUUUUCACUAUAACCCUUUUGGUUUUUUUUUUUUUUUCCUAGGCCCCCGACUUCUCGGAGGACAUAUAAAAUAGAAUUAAAUGCAUACUGUCCUCUAUAAAUAUAGUAAAUUCUAAAUUUAUCCCUCUAAAAUUUAAUUUUUAUAUGUGUUCAUAAAAAAAAUUCUAAUAUUUUCAAAUAAGUCCUUGUGGUUUGUGACCGUUAGAGAAUUGUUAGUUUUUUUAAUUUUGCCAUCACAAAUAUGUCUUUCCAAAAGGCACAAUAAUAUAAUAUAAGAGGGAUAAAAAUGUCAAAUUAUCUCAUAAACUAAUGAGAGUUAAGUAUUUAAUCUAUAGUUAACUAAAUUUUUCUAACGAAUUCUAACGACAGGAAUAUAUUUAAAAAUAUUAGGACUUUUGUAAGAAAAAUAUAUAAAAGUUGAACUUAAUUUGUAGUAAUAUAUUUAUAAUUUACUAUGUUUGUAGGGACCUCUAUGCAAUUAAUCCAAUAAAAUAUUAUACAUGUCAGUUAUUUUCAUACGUUAUAACUUAGCGGCAAUUAUUUUCUUAUACUAUACUGUUGUUUUAAAUAGAUCUAGAACUUCAGAAUAAUUAAUAGAAGAAUUAGGUUGUAAAACUUUAUUAAGUCCUGGUGCUAUAGCGCAUUGUUCAGUAUCUCAUUAUCUGUUAAAUUUGCACUCAGAAGUAGAUAAAAAAAAUUAGAUAAAAGAGAUCUUCUAUUUCGCUAAUAUUAUCAAAAUUAAUACAUUAUUAAACAAUUUUACUUAAUUUAUAUCAAUUUCCUUUUAUGAGUUUACAGCUAAAUUCAAUAAUUAUUAUAAAUUUUGGACCCAUUUGAAAUAAUAACAAAGCACAACAAGUAAUUGAGAUUGGAGCUAAAAUGCAAGGAUAUAUAGAGGGCGUCUGGUAUGCUUCUGGAAGCACGGAGCGCUCCGUGCUUCCAAAUUAUUUUCGCGCGAUGUUCGGACUUUCGAAUCAACGAUCGGCUCCGUUAGAGUUGAUCUAGAGUAUUUGAAGUACCUAGAAAAUAAAUUUUAUGAUUUUUCGAUAUCAUUUCCCUAGUGAUCGAAGUGGCUCAAAAUCAACGGCUGAAAAUAAAAAUCUUACAAAAUAUGAUGAUAUAACAUUAAAAUUUUAGAUUAAAGUUAUCGAUCUUGUUUUAUAUGGUAUUAAGAAUUUUCUAUCAAAAUUUUAUGUGAUUUGGAUAUUUCUACACUGUUAAACUUGUAAACGGCUCACCACGGCCAUUAAAAUUAUUGAUUUUAAGCCCCUUCGAUCACUAGGCAAAUGAUAUCGAAAAAUCACAAAAUUUAUUUUUUAGGUACUUCAAAUACUCUAGAUCAACUCUAACGGAGCCGAUCGUUGAUUCGAAAGUCCAAACAUCGAAAAUAACUUGGAAACAAGGAGCGCAUACCAGCCCACUCUCUCUCUCUCUCUCUCUCUCUCUCUCUCUCUCUCUCUCUCUCUCUCUCUCUCUCUCUAUAUAUAUAUAUAUAUAGAGUUGAUCGAGCUAGAAUACUAUCGGUAGCAAACGGGCUCCGUUGCCACCCAUUUGUUUUCGAUGAUGGAGCCUCCAAAUUGAUGAUCGGAACCGUUGAAUAUGAUCUAUACCACUUGAAGUAUCUAAAAAUCAAAUUUCAUACUUUUUCGAUAUUGUUUCCUUGUCCAUCAAGUGAGCGUCAAAAUGAACGACUGAAAAUGAAUAUCCUCUAAAAAGUGAUGAUAGGAAUUUUGUAAUCAAGAUCGAGAGUAUAAAUCUUAUUCUAAAUAGUUUAAAGAAUUUUCUAACCAAAAUUCAAUUGAUUUGGAUAGUUUUACAUAGUUAAACGAGAAAACGCCUUAUAUCUACCAUUAAAAUUACAAAUUUUGAAACCGUUUGAUCAUUAGGUCAAUGAUGUCGAAAUGAUUUGAAAUUUGGUUUCUACAUACUUCAAGUGGUAUAGAUCAUGUUCAACGGUGCCGAUCGUCAAUUUAAAGACUCCAUCAUCGAAAACAAAUGGGUGGCAACGGAGCUAGUUUGCUACCGAUAGCAUUCCAGCUCAACUCUCUCUCUCUCUCUCUCUCUCUCUCUCUCUCUAUAUAUAUAUAUAUAGUGGGCAAAUGCGAAUCAUGUCUCAUCUCCUAGCCGGAGGUGUCACUUGCAGAAGCUCAAUAUUGAGUUGGAAUUCAGCUCCAGGCUGCAAACCAGGAUAGAAUACAUUGAGUUAGAUUCUUACCGGACAUCAUUAUAGGAUCAUCUGAAAAAUAAUUACGAUAAUAUUGAUAGAUGAAUAUGCUCAGUCCAGGUAGAAUACUUUUGAAAGCACAGACACGGAUACCUCCGUGCUUCUAAGUUGUAUUCGAUAAUGAAAUAUCUGAAUCAACAAUUGACUCCAUUAGACAUGAUUUAUACUAUUGGAAAUCUGGAAACUAAAUUUUAUAAUUUUAUCAGCAUCAUUUGUCCAAUGAAUAAAUAAUCUCAAAGUGAAUGUCUAAAAAUGAAAAUCUCAUAAAAAAAUAAUGAUAGAAGACCAAAAUUUCAGAUUAGACGUGCUGAUCAUGACGAGACACUCGAAUCGACGAUCGGCUCGUUAAACAUAAUCUACACUGUUGGAAGUAUUUAGGAACCAAAUUUUAUGCUUUUUUGAUAUUAUUUGCUUCGCCAACAAAUAAACUAAUUUUCAUUAAAAAAAUAAGGGAAAACUUCAAAAACCCCCCUGUGGUUUCACACUUUUUCAUUUUAGUACCCUGUGAUUUAAAGUGUAUCAAGUUAGUACCCUAUGGUUUCUCACUUUAUCACUUUAGUACCCUAUGGUUUAAAGUGUAUCAAGUUAGUACUCUAUAAUUUUAUUUUUGUAUCAAGUUAGUACCCUAUGGUUUUAUUUUUGUAUCAAGUUAGUACCCUGUGGUUUUAUUUUUGUAUCAAGUUAGUACCCUGUGGUUUUUAAACCAGAGGGUGCUAAAGUGAUAAAGUGCGANUUAUAUAGAAAUAUUAUUAUAUAAUAUUUUAUUUAUAAAUUUGUAAUUAUUUAUUAAUAUUUUUAAAUAUAUAACUCUUAUAUAUUAUUAAUAUAUGUUUAUUAUAAUUUUAAAUAUAUUUAAUCUAUAUAUAAAAAUUAUUAUAAUAAUAUAUAUAGUAUAUUAAUUAUUAUAUAUUUAUUAUAUAGCCGAAUUUUUUAUCCCGAAUUUUUAAUUGGUGAACGUAUAAUACCCAUAUAAAUCACAUAUCCGAAUAAUUGCCGAAUUCUUUUUUUAGCCGUAUUUUUCAACGGAUUUAAAAAUUAAAAGACGAGUUUUAUCCGAAUUAUAUCCGUACCGAAUUUUCGCCGAAUCUGAAUUAACUAACUAUACCUCCAGUCACCAAGGUUGGUUUAGCUGCGAUUUAUCUCAUCCGUUCAUCUGCUCGCUUCCGACGUCGACGUGCUUAAUUAAGGCUUCGCCGAUUGAGAACAUCUAGGCUUCGCCGAUUGAGAAUAGUCUGUUAAAGGAAGCGAGCGUGAGCGAGCGUGUUGAAAUGACAAAUAUGGGGAUAUUUGGCGCGAGCCUGUUCAAUAACCCAAAUAUAGCCCUGUGCCUUUCCGUACAGCCCUGCUCCCAAGCCUAAUUGAGCCACUAAGCCUUUAUUAGGAUCAAGGAAAGACCUACACCGAGUGCUCUCCUGUUGUUGUUCGCCGUCCCCGCCCAUGGUUCGCGAAUAGACUCAUUUGGAGGACUUAACCAAACUUCAUCUUUUGGUCAAAACCACAGACUACAGACCCGCCCCGGUGCGGGAGCCGCUCGCACCCACUAGAGACUUUACAUAAAAGUAUGGAUUAGACCAGAUAUGGGGAGAAGUCUCCAUUUCUCCUCACGUCCCGCGGACCACAACAAAAUUAGGUUAUAGCGAUACAUGUUUGGGACACUUUUGUAUAAGUGUCCCAUUUAUGUCAAAAUUUUUUUAAAAAUCUACUAAUGACUAAAUAUAAAGCCCAAUCCAACCAAAAAUAAAAGAUUACUUUACUCAACCCACCCCACCCAGCCCAUUCGACCCGAUUGCAAACAUAAAACAAAAAAAAAGAAAAAUCGAUUAUCAUCUCCCCUUCUCCCCUCACUCAAUCCACUGAAAUUCUAGACGAAGAGCCCUUCCAUCUCCUCAUCCUCCGCCACCGCAGCCAACGAGGUAGAGUUCCGGCAGUUGCUAAAUGCUUAAAUAAGUGUUAGUAAAUUAGCAGCACUCUUUUAGAUUAUACCGACACUCUUUAACUGUCACUAUAUACCUAGCGACGCCACAUAUAGCAACACUUUUUAAAAGUGUCGGUAAUUUAGCCAGCAGCACUUUUUUUGACCUGUACCGACAUUUAAAAGUGUCGCUAUAGACCAUUUUUGUUGUAGCGCCGUCUGUUGGCGGAACGUUGGAACUAAUGAAGCAAAUGAUUGACCCAUCAUAUCAUCCAAAGAAACGGAAAAUACCAAAAAGUUCGAAUUGACAGCUAAUAACAUUGAUUCAAUUGGCAUUGACAUAAUAGGAAUAUUUCGUCUAUUAAGGAGGAUUCCCCGAAUACCUAAAAUAGAGAUAAUCAUUGAAAAUGUGAAAUAUUUAAUUGGAUCCGUUUCGGAAACGUGGAAUGUCAGAGAAAUUCAAAUGUUGUGAGGCAACUCGAAGUUGAGUUGAUCACCGCCCCCCAGGGUUUGUUCUCGGUGAUCAACAUACGAUAAAACUAGGCUUUGCCGAUUGAGAACAUCUAGGCUUCGCCGCUUAAGAACAGCUGUGGGAUAGCAACCGGGGGGAGAGACCGAAUGGUCCCCCCCCGCAUUGGCCUCGCCGACUGAGAGGAAUCAGUCCCCUCAGGGUAUGGGAUUGCACGAGUUGGCUUUGCCAGCAUGGGCCGGACAUCCAGCAAUGAGGUGCCGAGCAUCUUCUCAUUUUCGAAAGCCAUCAACGACUUUAAUGCAAUGCAGCAGCAGCAGCUGUGCUGUCGAUCCCGAUCUCGAUCCAGUCGUCGAUGAAGCAGCAGAGCCUGUUGCAUCGUAAGUCAGAGCAUCAAUCUCUUUUUGGAGUAGUAUCCUUUUUUCGUCGAUCAUGCGUUGACUCGGAGCACCACCAUCGAGGGCCUAAGAUGAAGCAGAUCUAGUUCCAGGCAAAGAGUUGGAUCAAUAGCCCAAUCUUUGAAAGGAUCUGACCGGGUCUAGUACGAUGGACCGAGGGGGUGCUGCUAUGCCUCCAGAGGAAAUGCAAGAUGAUAGAAGAGUUCGCUCUGCCGCGUAAGAUCCUCAAAUCUACCACGGCCACCAUCUUUUGCCUUAUAGCACGCACCUUGGACGGAUCAACUUCUACCGCCCCAUUUGCUGCCAUCGAAGAAUCGGUUUCAUCGAAGGGAUAAGCAGAUAAGAGAGGCGCAGAUAGACAAUUGAGGGAUGGAAAGCACUGCUGAAAGUCUCGUCUUUCUCGGUAUGCUGCUGAAGCAACUGCGGAACAUGUCGGGCGAUCCGCCAGAAACCCUAAACCCUAAACCCUAAACCCUAAACCCUUAAUUGAUAUUUGAAGGGCAAAUAAGAAAAGUAUUUGCUAUAUGAAGGGUAUAUAAGAAAAGUUAGUUACGGUAUAAGGGUAUAUUGAAAUGAGCAAAAUGGUAAUUUUUUAGAGAUAACGGCAACUGUUAACACCUUACUAACCGAAUUUAACUCCAGGGGUAUAUUAGAAAGAACUUGGAACAUAAGAAGAGUAUUUUCAAUAUUAGCCUUCUAAAAGGGGUAAAUAAGAAAACCGGAAACUUUUCAGGGAUAUAUAGGCAAUUGCUCCUAGAAUUUAUGGCUUCUAGAAAUGUACAUGGCUCUUCUUGUUCCACAAUUAGUGCUCGAAAUGUACUUGGAUCUACAAAAUGCUUCAAACGCAAAGGUGUGUGCCGCUCUCUUGUAGAACGUCGAGGCAAGUCAUGUAUUUCCCCACCUUCAUAAGAACUUUCUCCUUCAUUGGAAUUUUCAUAGGUUUGAUCAUCGACCUCAUCAUAUUCAAUCGGUGUAUCCUCCGAUUCAAUGUCUUCAUUUGGUGAGGUUGAAUAUGGAAAUUCAAAAUUUUGUGUAUCCUCGAUGCUUUCAUGUUCUACACCAUUUUUCAACACAUUUGAUUCAUCAAAAUGAACAUCACAACUUGUGAUAAUUUUGUGAGCCAUCGGAUCCCAUAACCUGUAUCCUUUCACACCUUUUGUAUAACCAACGAAUAUGCAUUUUCUUGAUCUUGGAUCUAGCUUAGUUCUUUGACAACUAGGAACCAAUGCAUAAGCAUGACAACCAAAUAUUUUUAGAUUACAAUAAUCACAAGGAGUUCCAAACCAUACCUCCUUCAGUGUCUUUCCAUUUAUAGCCAUGUAAGGUGAGCGGUUGACAAGAUAACAUGCCAUGGACACGGCCUCGGCCCAUAACUUGUGCUCCAAACCGGUAUUGCUCAACAUGCUACGAGCCUGCUCCAUCAAUGUAUGGUUCAUCCUCUCGGCCACCCCAUUUUGUUGUGGAUCAUAUGGGUUUGUAUAGUGUCUUCGGAUGCCAUUCUCUUUACGAAAGAGCUCAAACUCUUUAGAUUUGUCCUCCAAACCAUUGUUCGAUCGGAGAACUUUAAUGCGGCGUCCGGUGAGGCUCUCUACUUUGGCCUUGAAGUGCUUAAAUACUUGAAAUGCCUCACCUUUCGACUUGAGAAAUUUCACCCAAACCUUCCGUGAGAAGUCAUCAAUAAAUGAUAUAUAAUAAUUAGCACCACCAUAUGAAGUAGUAGGAGAACUCCACACAUCCGUAUGAAUGUAGUCAAGAAUACCUUUACUUGUAUGACUCCCGGCUUUGAAGCUCCGCUUAUGAUGUUUCCCAUAAACACAAUGCUCACAAAAUUCCGAGUCACUAAAAGUAAUAUCCGGUAUAAGUUUCUUCUUUACUAAAAUCUUCAUACCCUUCUCACUCAUAUCACCCAACCUUCUAUGCCAUAGCCGGAGAGGAAGGUCACCAUUUUCCGUCGCCGCAUAAGUUUCAUCCGUCAUUGUACUCUCCAAUAGCUUGUACAAGUUUCCAACCCGAAUGUCUUUCAUGACAACCAAUGCAUCUUUGGAGACUUUUAUAACUCCACCUUGCCCCGUAAAUUUGUAGCCUUUGUUGUCCAAUUCGGAGAGAGAGAUCAAACCUUUCUUCAAAUCCGGAACAUGUUGCACAUUUUCAAAUACCCGGACCAUUCCAUCAUACAUUCUCAAGCGCACCGAACCAACUCCCACCGUUCUACUAGUUGAGUUGUUUCCCAUCGAAAUGGUACCACCAUCGCAUUCCUCAUAGAUAAUGAACCAUGAACGAUGUGGACACAUAUGAUGAGUAGCGCCACUAUCAAGAAUCCAAUUUUGAUGAAACACCGAACUAGAACCCACCAUCAAGACCUCAUCAUCAAUAACACCCGAUGUUGUCUCUUCAACUUAAUGUGCUUCGUUGUUCGAUUCCGAGUUUUGUUUACCACUACUUGAUUCACCAUUGUCCUUUCCGCCAUUGGAGCCUUUUCUUUUAGAUAAUCUUUCUUCGAUAUGUCCGGAUUUGCCACAAAACCAACAAAGCCUUUUGUCAUUCCGAUUUCUAGACUUUGAUCUGUUCUUUGACUUGCUUCUUGAAAAAUGUUUUGACAUAUUUUCAUGUUCUUUAUAACGACCUCUUACUACAAGUGCUUCCGUUUCACCCUCCGAACUCCCCAAAGUUGCCUUUUUUUGAAGUUCAUCGGCUAACAAUGCACUACAAACGGUGUCUAAGUAAAGAGAAUCUUCUUUAGUGCAACUUAAACUUGUAAUCAAAGUCUCAUAGGAAUCCGGCAAUGUGCAUAACAAAGUGAUGGCCUUAUCUUCAUCCUUCAUCUUCUCUCCGAUACUCUCAAGCUCACAAAUAAUGUUGUUGAAUAUAUUCAAGUGAUCGAAAACCUUGGUACCUUAUUUCAUUCUCAAAGAGUACAACCGUCUCUUCAAGAAAAUUCGGUUGAUAAUUGACUUAUUUUGGUACAAGCUCUCUAACUUUGCGCAUAAUUCAAAAGCCGUUUUUUCUCCAAUUAUAUUGAAAAGAACUUCAUCCGCCAAGCACAUGUGAAUGGUGGCUAAAGCUUUCAUGUCCAUCGACUCCUCACAUUCAUUAUCGGUCAUCCACUCUGGUUUCUUAUCUCUCCCAAGUAGAUCCUUGUAUUGCCCAUAUUGUACUAAUAAAUCAUGACUUUUAACUUCCAAAGUUCAAAGUUUCUCUUUCCAUCAAAUUUGUCCACUUCCAAUCGAUUUGUUGCUAUUGAGACAAUUUAUCGAACACCUUGCACUCAACCUUGAAGCUUUGAUACCAAUUGUAGUGAGCUAAUAACGGAAUCCUCACUAUCAAGAUACUAAUCACACAAGUAAACAAAUGUGAUGUAUCUAAAUUAUCUACAACCAAGAUAUGCAAGAUUGGAAUAAAUGAAGUUGAAAGAGAAAAAUUCAAGCACAACCACAACAACAACACAAGAUUUAUGUGGUUCACCCAAAUCGGGCUACAUCCACGGACACGAAAAGAUCAAAUCCACUAUCAAAUGAGGACAUUACAAGAUUUGGUUAGAGAUUACCACUCUAUUACAAUGGGCUUGCAACCUUCUAAUUGAGAAAAAAUCUUUCUUGCUACACCUUCAUCUUAGCACCUUCCAAAUCUGCGAAACCUGCUUCGAAAUGCCUCUUAAAAUUCCUCCAAUCAAUCUUGGAAGCUUUGAAUCAAGCAAGAAGAAUAAGAGAGCUCCUUCUACAAGACUACAACCCCCUCUACACCUCUCUUCUCUAUCUCAAGAAAAGAGAACCCUAGAGAUCUAGCAAACAAAUGAGAACUCUAUCUCUCUAAACCCAAAGAGAAUGCUGCCUUUCUUAACAUCAUUUGGCCCAAUAUACGAAAUGAGUCAACUAAAGUCCAAACCAAUUACAAACUAUCUGAUUACAUGAGUUGUUGAACCAAACCUAAAAUAAAAUCAAUUAGGCUAAUAAGUGAAUUUGAUAUUACUAAUCCAACCGUACAUAUGUGUGUAAUUUCAUUAUUAUUUUACAUAUCUAUAAAGAUCUAUCAAUUGGUAUCAGAGCCAUCAACGAUAUACUAUAUAUUAUACACAAAAUUUUCUUUUAGAGCAUUGGACAAGUGCACGGAUGUAAUUUCGGCCCAUUGAAUUGUAAACAUUAUUUUAUGAAGUUACUGUUCGUCAUCUUCUUGUAAUUCCUUAAUUUAUAACAUCUUAUUAAAAAAAAAAAAGAAAAAAAAAAUAGAGAAAAAUUCUAGAAUACACCGGGUAUAUUGGUGAUCUGGCGUCACAAACCAAUCAAAUAACUCAUUUUAAAAAUAUAUGUCCCAUUAUGAUUGUAAAAAAAUAUUUUUAUUGUACUUUUGUUUGAAAAGAAGAUAUAUAAUUGGCUUGUUAUUGAUGAUGUGGUGCAAGCGUGACAGUGUAGAACUUCUCCCGGCGUUGGCGUCUCGGUGACUUUUGGUCGCAUGUAAUUAAGGUCGGUACGAACGAAAAUCCGACUUGAUGCCACGUGUACGUAGUUGCGAGAUUCCGGUAAGGACGAUCGUUGGAUUUCAAUUAGCGCGAUGGCGCCGUGAGCGAUCUGAGUCUCGGCCGUGCAUGCAUGCAUGAUGCACGAUGCUUGGCCUAUUUAUUUGAGGCGGCCUGCAUCUUUUGUUUAAUUAAAAUCCUAAUUAAAGUCAAGGAAGAAGCUGAAUAGUAUAUUUUAUUGGGUUGAUUUAACCGAUUCCACAUUAAUGAAUUAAGACAACAUAAUUUUAAAUUUAAUUAGAUUUGAUCUUGUUUUAAAUCUGUGUUUUUUUAUUAAAGUUGUCUUAAUUAAUUAUUUCCGGAUGAAGAUUGGAUUUGUUAUUAAUUUUGAUUUAUUUUUAUUAAAUUCUUGGUGUUUAAUUAGUUAUAUAAUACGGACCAUCAUCUGAAAAACAGAGUUGAGUUUAAGUCAAUCCAUUAAUACUCUAUACCCAAAUUUUCUUUUUACUCGCCAUGAAGCUAUUUAUUAUGCUCCAUAAAGUAUUGUGGAUACCAAAAUUUUGUUCACAUAAAUAAGCUUUUGACUUUGCAUAUAAUAUUAAUUUAUCAUAAAUUUAUUAAUCUUAUGUUUGUGGUUAUAUUAUAAGAAUAUAUAAAGUUCGAAUUAUGAUUGCCAUAUCGUAUUUGAAAUUGUUGCAUCAAUAUUUUUAUUUUGAUCCGACAUAACAUAAAAAUAUUUGUUUUAGAUUAUUUAAGAUUCGGUGUAAGUUAAAUUAAUUUAUUAUUUCGAUUGGAUAGGUGCGAGUCAAAGCGGCCCUAAUUAAAAAAAAAUAAUAAUUAAUUUACUUUAAAAUAGUGCUUCUGGAUAAUUUUCAUGUUAAUACUGCAGCACUAAGUCAGGUUAAUUUAUUGCUUCAACUGUUUGGGUGCAAGCCAAAGUGACCCAGACAAGAAGGAAAGAUAAAUUAAUCGCAUUAAAGAAGUGCAUGCAGAAAUUGUAUCCUAAUAUUAUAUUUAAUUUACUCCUAAAGAAGGUUUAGACAUGAAGGUAUAUGGGUGGUGCAGAAUGGUAAUUUUCUUAUAACUCAUUUGCAAAAAUUUGCCCGACCAAAGCUGGCAACUUUUUCAAACAGAAAACUUAAAAUAUCACGGCGUACAGAAAGUUUAAAUUAAUUUUUGAUAAAAAGAUUGUAUAUUUAUACUCAUAACUUUACUCCCAAAUGAGGGAUUAUGAUGUCAUAUAAAGUAUAUGCAUAAAGAAAUCGAAAUAAUUAUGCUCAUAAUUCUGCUUCCAAAAGAGGUGUUGUAAUGUCAUAUGAAGUGUAUAUUUUUAAUUUUAGUGUGAUAAUUUUUAGAUGUGGUAUUUUGUUGAUAAAACAUGCAUUUUAUUUUAUGUUUCAGCUAUGUCUUCAUCAUUUGUUUCUAUUGGUGACUCUGUUUCUAUAUUUAAUGAUUCUAAUUACUCGGAGUGGAAUGAACAGAUUAUGCUUACAUUAAGCUAUAUGGAUCUUGAUUUGGCUAUAAAAAAGGAUGAAUCUGCUCCUCUUACAGAUAAAAGUACGCCAACCGAAAUAACAUUUGCAGGAAAGUGGAAGCGCUCUAAUCGUCUUAGUUUAAUGCCAAUGAAAGUGCGUGUCAAUAAAAAUUUUUGGAAUUCAAUUCCAGAGUGUGAGACAGUUCGCGAUUUCUUAAAUAUUGUGGAGUAAUAGUUUGUAACCUCCAGUAAGAUUUUGGCGAGCACCCUAAUGAUGUGAGAUAUUGCAGUGCAGUUCACUGCACUUGAAAUAAUUAUCUCUAAUUCAUUUUUAGUGCACUUUAUUUUGAACUCUUUGUCAUCUGAAUACGAACCAUUUUAUAUCUCUUAUAUUAUGAACCAAAUUUAAAAUUUAAAGUCGAGAUGAUAUACUUUAUUUAACUUAUUCGAACUUUUAAAACUAAUUUAUUUCUAGUUAUUUCAUUGAAAGAUAUUGGAUACUGCAAAUAUUUUGUAUGUGUUUGUGCAUGUGAAGAAUAUUCUAAAUAGAUAUUCUUUUGUUGGAAAAAAAUUGAAUAAGUAUAAUUUUUUUUUUUAAUUUCCGCAAAUAAAAUUCAAUAUAAAAAUGCGUCUGUCAAUAAUUAUUUUAAUAGUUAUUUCAAAUUAAUAUAAAUUUAUAAAUCAUAUUUAUCAAAAAAUUUAUAAUAAAAAUUUAAUUUUAAAAAAGUAAAUUUAUCUAUUAUAUUUUAUUUAGAAAUAUCUGUCAUAUCAUAAUUCAAAUUCAAAUAGUUGCUUUCCACAAAAAUUAUAUAGUUCUAUUUUUUUACUUUUUAUAUAAAUUGAAUAUUUCACUAUAUUUUUUGGUUUUUGAUGAAUCUAAAAUUUAAAUAUAUGUUUUAAACUAAAAGUAUCGAAAUUUUAAUUCAUGUUUAAGUCAACAUUUAAAAUAUAAUUAAUGAUCCACUUUAAUUAAAACAUUUAGUUGUUAAUUCAAAUUUAAUAUCUAAAAUUAUAUUUAAUUCAUGACUGAAACUCAAAUUUUAAUUUUAAUUUAAUAUUUUUAAAUUUAAAUUUAAAUUAUAUAAUUAAUUUCAACUCUAAAUUUCAAAUGAUAUAAAAAUUUCAAAUAAGAAAAAUAGAUAAAUAUUUAAAUGUAAAUUUAAUUUUUAUUAUUGGUUGCAAUGAAUAAAAAGUUAAUAAAAAAACUAACUAUUAGUAGAGAAAAUUAAAUUAAUCUUUAAAUUCAAAUGCGUAAAUAGGAGAUAGCGGAUAUUACGUGUGCGAGAAUAUUAUGUCACAAUUCGACGUUAGAUGAGAUUAAUGGCAAAAGCUAAGAUCUAUAUUUGAGAAUAAAUUGUAUGUGAUAAAUUAUUUGAAACGAAUGAAUAAAAAUUACUGGAAACGAAAGUAUUACUAAAAAAACAUAGAUACAUUUUCGGAAAGGAAAAAAAAAAGCAAAACUCACGCGUUAUAAGUAGUAUAGAUAUGGGCAAUUAUUUAUAUAUUUUUGAAAAGUUUCACUUUCUUAAUUAUUACCCAUCUUAAAAGAUUAAUAUAAAAAGUAAACAUUCCAAAUUCUUUCAAAUAUGCCCAUAGAAUUAAAAUUUAUUAGUAAACAAUUAGGAUAAAUCGUUAUCUCUGUGAAAUUACUGUUUUUCACUUUCAAAUAUACUCUUUUACGUCACCAACUUUUUUUAAUUUAUUCUUAAGUUAGGUCAAAAAAGUAUUUUGAUUUUUCGUCGGUUUAAAUAUAUCCUUUUACAAAUACUAACUUUUCUUAUUUGCCCUUAUGUUACAGAUAAAAAAGGUAUUUUGGCUUUUUUUUAAACUCGGGUAGAAAUUUAAUUCUUAAUAUGAAAUAACUUAACGGGUAUUAACGUCGGGGUUGGCCCACGUCAUCCUAACCAUCCAUUUCUCAAUCCAAGGGCUAAAAAAUCAAUAGCAUCAAUAGCUUCGUGCUAUUGAUUGUAUUCUAGUUUAAUCCAUAUAGAGCUAGGCUGGUAUACUAUCGGUAGCACGGAGGCCUCCGUCCUACCAAGUUGUUUUCAAUGAUACGGCUUCCAAAUCGACGAUCAGCUCCGUUAGACUUGAUCUAUACUAUUGAAAGUAUUUGGAAACUAAAUUUCAUAAUUUUUCGGUAUCAUUUACCUAUCAAACGAGUAGUCUAAAAAUGAACGGCUGAAAAUAAAAGUCUCAUAAAAAAUGAUGAUAAAAUACUUGAAUUUAAGAUUAGAGGUACUGAUCUUAUUCUGAAUAGUAAAAAAAAUUUUCUAUAAAAAUUUCAUUAGAUUUGGAUUAUUUUACACCGUUAAAUUCACAAACGCAUCACAUCUACCAUUAAAAUUGUCAAUUUUGAGACAUUUUGAUCACUAGCCAAAUGAUGUCGAAAAAUUAUGAAAUUUAGUUUUCAAAUACUUUCAAUAGCGUAGAUCAAGUCUAACGAAACCGAUCGUCGAUUUGGAAGCCGCAUCAUUGAAAACAACUUGGUAGCAUGGAGGCCUCCGUGCUACCGAUAGUAUACCAGCAUAACUCUAUAUAUAUAUAUAUAUAUAUAUAUAUAUAUAUAUAUAUAUAGAGUGAGGCUACUAUGCUUCUGGAAAUACGGAGCCUCCCAUACUUCCAGGUCAUUUUUGAUGUUGCGACUUUCGAAUAGUCGAUCGGCUCCGUUAAACUUGAUCUACAGUAUUUGAAGUAUCUAGAAAAUAAAUUUUGUAAUUUUUUGAUAUUUUUUGCCUAGUGAACUAAGGGGCUUAAAAUCAACGGUUGAAAAUAAAAAUCUUACAAAACGUGAUAAUAUGACAUGGUGCGUUUUGUUCGAGUUAUCCUGGCAGGAUUACAAGCAAUCCUGACAGGAUAGCUGUGUUUGGUUAAUCCGCUAUGUAAUCAGUCGUUAAUGUAGCAUUACAAAUCGAGCAGGAUUACAUCGAAAAUAUUAACGGGAUGGGGGUCGUGUAUCUUGCAUUACUGAAACCCGUUAAUACUAUAUAUUAUGUAAAAUAACAAUUUUACUCUCCAACAAUCCCAAAUCUAAUUAGCAGCAUUAUUUUCAUCUCUCUCUCUCCUUCCCCCCUCUCUCUCGCACGAUGCUUUCUCUCGCUCUCUCUCUCUCACACGUAUGUCUCUCUCUCUCUCUCUCUCUCUCUCUCUCUAUCUCUAUCUCUUUCUCUCUCUCGCACGAACAUCCAUCAUCUUAUAUUGCGUCGUCUUCCCAGGUAAUCAUCACGAUCUCCUUCCCUCCAUUCGUCACUUUCGCAAAAAAUAAUAUUCAAAUGACCACAACAAGGGCAAUUUUGGAAAAAACUAUACUUUUAUGUCAGGAUUACUAAAUUUUAUAAACUGAACCAAACAUAUUAAUGCUAUAAACACUGUAAUCUAGUAUUACAUUACUGCAUUAAACCAAACGCGCUAAUGCAGCAUCAGUAGUAAUCUCACGCCGAAAUCCAAGAUACCUGGAUAUGUCGAGAUAUUUUGUAAUUGUGAGAUCCCUGGUGUUUGACUGUGGAGGCUUGUCGACAGCUCUGGAGAGUGUCAGGACAAGUCCGAGUCGCGUUGGUGUCAAAUAGACGUAAAACGGACUCCGUGCGACGCCAGGGCAACUUAUCGCGAAGAAUUCUGCAAACAGCAGC
Molecule: long non-coding RNA, 61658 nt
Filed under: Ananas comosus (pineapple)
Lineage: Eukaryota; Viridiplantae; Streptophyta; Magnoliopsida; Poales; Bromeliaceae
Description: long non-coding RNA (ACOM_LNC002222)
Source: RNAcentral